RNAcentral lists this long non-coding RNA (69058 nucleotides) under Lactuca sativa (garden lettuce). RNAcentral describes it as "long non-coding RNA (LSAT_LNC007131)". Lineage: Eukaryota; Viridiplantae; Streptophyta; Magnoliopsida; Asterales; Asteraceae. The record is from RNAcentral.
AACACACACACCUCACAAAACUCUCUCUAAAUCACUCAAGGAUCAUCCACUCUUCUUCAUCCAAAAUCUCGAAAAUUUGGCUUGAAGUCUAAGGAUCUUCAUCAAGUAAUUCAUCAUCUAAGGUAAGUUAAUGGCUAACUUAUGAUCUAACUCCCUUCAUUUCAUCAAAAUCUCUUCUAAAUCCAUUAAACCUUGUGAUCUUGCACCUUAGAAGCUCUUUAAAUUCGAGAUCUUCCAAGAAAGGUUGCUAGGGCCGAAAAUAACAACAAACUCUUCUCUUUUCUUCAUCAAAACCGAUCCACAACUCAAGGUGAGUUUUAUACCCCCUUCUUUUCGGUUUUUAUGAGUUUUAUGGGGGAGAAUACAAGUAAAUGUGUAGAUCUAUGUGUAAAUGUAUGCUAUGUGUGAUUUGAUGCAUGUAUGUGUGUGAUAUCAUGUGUUUGUGAUGAAUAUGUUAUCCAAAAAGUGUGUAAAUACCGAGAUCUAAAACAUGAGGAAGGAAAUAAACAUAACUUAAACUAUUAUACACUAAUCAAGUCAAGAAAAAUAGUUUAUAUGGUUAGGAUGAUCACUCUUGAACAUAAAACUCAUUUUUGGGCAUAAAAUGUCAAAAAUACAAAACUUAGGGUCCAAACCGACAAAUUAUAAUUUUUGGAGGGUCAAAAGGGUCCAAACAGAUUCUAUAAUAAUUUUUCUGAACAACAACAUUUUUGAGGGGCUUAAAAUGUAAAUUUUGAAGUUAAUGGGCUAAAUUUGGGCUUUUCGGCCCAAUAAGCUUCAAAAUGCGAAAUUUCUAAAUUUGAGGGGUUGAAAAUGCAACUUUCUGUAAAACAGGGGAUUUGAAGUGAAAUAAAACAAUUCCAAUGGUCAAAAAUGCUUUUCAAAUUCAAAAAGGAUCAAAAACGUAAAAAUUUUCUAUUUUGGGCCAAAACUGUCAAAGUUGCGAAAUUGAGGGUUUUAACCGAGAAAACAUUAUUCUGGAAGGACUAAAGCUGUUUACAAAACAAUAUUGGGGUAAAAAUGUCUUUUCUACAAGUUUAUGACACAAAAGUGUCAAAAUAAUGUUUUAAGGACUAAAAUGAAAUUCUUUUAUAUAAAGGACUAAAAGUGCUAUUUUUAUAAAAGAAAGGUUGUGAAAAAGUAAAAAUCUUACUUUUAAACGAAUUAAUUCAUUAAGACAAAAUACAAGAUCCACGACUACCGACGAAGCAUAAAAACAAAUACACUCUCAACACCCAAUAUCGUUACAAAACGAAUUGAUUCAGUCUCGAAUCAAUAACAAAACAAAAUUCAAUAAAUCAUAGGAUUUCAAUAAACACGCGAUAACUACGAGGAGUCAACGUUCAAUCUUUGGGCUUGAAAGUUUCAAAUCGUGCUUGUUGGGCCUUGCUAGCCCAAUAACAUGAUCUUUGGGCCCGAAGGGAACGCGCUUACAUGUUAAUGGGCCUUCUACGACCUAGUUUCAUGUAAAAGGACUUUCAAUAGCUCUAUUGUGCUAUUGGGCCCUAAUGGCCCAUUAGUAAUGCUAGUGAGGUCGAGAAGUUAAAUGCAAUUUGGGCCAAGUGCCUUACGCAUUCCCGAUAGCCUUGAAUAACUUAUGGAAAUAAAAGGGGGCUUUGUACCCUCCUUUCUCCUCGGUUGUUGGGCUUAUGAGAAUUCGAGUAAGCGGAUUCGUGACGUUAAACAAGAGAAGUCAGGGUGGUUGGAUUAAGUGAGUAGUACGGACGACGCCUCUAGGAUCGUUCGUAAUUUGUAGUUAUAAACUAGUCAUUUUCAGUAAUGCGUGAUUGUACGACUCACAAACCCUAAUUAAUCCAAUGUCACCUGGGUAAUCAAAAUCAAUCGUCGUAUCGGUAUAACAAUAAUCAAGACAUGUAAUUUACGUAUUGGGAAAACAUCGGGUUUUCCCUGGGAGUUCAACAUUUUAACUUAUGUGAUGUAUACAAAGUUCAACAAUUAUAUAUGUUUUCAAAAUCAACAAGCACAUUUAUGGAUCUCCACACUUUUUAUAAACAAAUAUUCUUUUCAGAAGAUAUCGGAUUUUCUAGGUGUUUCAAACUUCACAAAAAUCAUUUUUCCAUAACAUUUCUUAUGAACUCACCAACAUUUCAUAUGUUGACGUUUUUCAAAAUAACUUGUAUUCUCAGGUAACAGGUAAGACGAAGAAUAAGUACCAAGUUAUGUCAUGGUGUUUUGCUUAGAUUUCCUAAUGAACGGUUUAUGUUAUGGAAUUGUAAUGACUAAAACAAUGUAAUAGAUGUAAACAAUAUCAGUUGUACUAUUUCAAUGCAUGGUGAUGAAUGAUGUUAUGAUUCAUGUAUAAUCAUUGUGAUGGUAUUCAAUUUAAGUCACAAGAUCCCUCGGACGUUUCCGCCGUCCGGUUCGGGGGUGUGACAAUGUAUAACUAAUAUGCUAGUCUUACCGUUAGUAGGCCUCAUUCACGAAGCCAAUCUAUAAGGGGGGGGGGGGNNNNNNNNNNNNNNNNNNNNNNNNNNNNNNNNNNNNNNNNNNNNNNNNNNNNNNNNNNNNNNNNNNNNNNNNNNNNNNNNNNNNNNNNNNNNNNNNNNNNNNNNNNNNNNNNNNNNNNNNNNNNNNNNNNNNNNNNNNNNNNNNNNNNNNNNNNNNNNNNNNNNNNNNNNNNNNNNNNNNNNNNNNNNNNNNNNNNNNNNNNNNNNNNNNNNNNNNNNNNNNNNNNNNNNNNNNNNNNNNNNNNNNNNNNNNNNNNNNNNNNNNNNNNNNNNNNNNNNNNNNNNNNNNNNNNNNNNNNNNNNNNNNNNNNNNNNNNNNNNNNNNNNNNNNNNNNNNNNNNNNNNNNNNNNNNNNNNNNNNNNNNNNNNNNNNNNNNNNNNNNNNNNNNNNNNNNNNNNNNNNNNNNNNNNNNNNNNNNNNNNNNNNNNNNNNNNNNNNNNNNNNNNNNNNNNNNNNNNNNNNNNNNNNNNNNNNNNNNNNNNNNNNNNNNNNNNNNNNNNNNNNNNNNNNNNNNNNNNNNNNNNNNNNNNNNNNNNNNNNNNNNNNNNNNNNNNNNNNNNNNNNNNNNNNNNNNNNNNNNNNNNNNNNNNNNNNNNNNNNNNNNNNNNNNNNNNNNNNNNNNNNNNNNNNNNNNNNNNNNNNNNNNNNNNNNNNNNNNNNNNNNNNNNNNNNNNNNNNNNNNNNNNNNNNNNNNNNNNNNNNNNNNNNNNNNNNNNNNNNNNNNNNNNNNNNNNNNNNNNNNNNNNNNNNNNNNNNNNNNNNNNNNNNNNNNNNNNNNNNNNNNNNNNNNNNNNNNNNNNNNNNNNNNNNNNNNNNNNNNNNNNNNNNNNNNNNNNNNNNNNNNNNNNNNNNNNNNNNNNNNNNNNNNNNNNNNNNNNNNNNNNNNNNNNNNNNNNNNNNNNNNNNNNNNNNNNNNNNNNNNNNNNNNNNNNNNNNNNNNNNNNNNNNNNNNNNNNNNNNNNNNNNNNNNNNNNNNNNNNNNNNNNNNNNNNNNNNNNNNNNNNNNNNNNNNNNNNNNNNNNNNNNNNNNNNNNNNNNNNNNNNNNNNNNNNNNNNNNNNNNNNNNNNNNNNNNNNNNNNNNNNNNNNNNNNNNNNNNNNNNNNNNNNNNNNNNNNNNNNNNNNNNNNNNNNNNNNNNNNNNNNNNNNNNNNNNNNNNNNNNNNNNNNNNNNNNNNNNNNNNNNNNNNNNNNNNNNNNNNNNNNNNNNNNNNNNNNNNNNNNNNNNNNNNNNNNNNNNNNNNNNNNNNNNNNNNNNNNNNNNNNNNNNNNNNNNNNNNNNNNNNNNNNNNNNNNNNNNNNNNNNNNNNNNNNNNNNNNNNNNNNNNNNNNNNNNNNNNNNNNNNNNNNNNNNNNNNNNNNNNNNNNNNNNNNNNNNNNNNNNNNNNNNNNNNNNNNNNNNNNNNNNNNNNNNNNNNNNNNNNNNNNNNNNNNNNNNNNNNNNNNNNNNNNNNNNNNNNNNNNNNNNNNNNNNNNNNNNNNNNNNNNNNNNNNNNNNNNNNNNNNNNNNNNNNNNNNNNNNNNNNNNNNNNNNNNNNNNNNNNNNNNNNNNNNNNNNNNNNNNNNNNNNNNNNNNNNNNNNNNNNNNNNNNNNNNNNNNNNNNNNNNNNNNNNNNNNNNNNNNNNNNNNNNNNNNNNNNNNNNNNNNNNNNNNNNNNNNNNNNNNNNNNNNNNNNNNNNNNNNNNNNNNNNNNNNNNNNNNNNNNNNNNNNNNNNNNNNNNNNNNNNNNNNNNNNNNNNNNNNNNNNNNNNNNNNNNNNNNNNNNNNNNNNNNNNNNNNNNNNNNNNNNNNNNNNNNNNNNNNNNNNNNNNNNNNNNNNNNNNNNNNNNNNNNNNNNNNNNNNNNNNNNNNNNNNNNNNNNNNNNNNNNNNNNNNNNNNNNNNNNNNNGAAAUGGUUAAAUCAAGAAGUCAAUCAUACUUCGUUCCAAAAACAAGUCUUAGAGUUAAGAUUGUGACAUUGAGUGACAAGUCUUAAGAAGGUUUAUAACAUUCAUCAAAUGUGGAAAGAUGUGAUGUCUUGGAUAAGACAAAGACCAACUAGGACCAAUUUUGUGAAGUGUUUUGUCUUGAUAAAAGCUACACUAACUCUUGAAUAUUUGUUUGUCGAGAAAUGUUUAUUGACAAGAGAAUCUUAUAUGUCAAGGAGUCCGUGGGAUUCUUAAUAGUCUUGAAAGGUUUCAAGAUCAAAUCAAGAAUAAACCUUAUCAAUCAUCACUAGCACACGAAUUAAGGUUUACAACCUAUCGUGUUGACACUAUUUUGUUUUCUGUGCCAUUCCAAUUGAGUUUUCUAUAUACGUGAGUUCUACGAGUUCUCAAUGGAUUGUAUAGGGGCAAGACACCUUGUUCAAUGGAAAGUAAAUUGAAAUGAAGGGGUGAGCUGCUCAAUAACUUGGAAGUAAUGGUGGGACCCUUGAUGGCAAGAAAUUAAGAAGAACAAGUUCUAUCCAUAAGAGUUUGGAUUUGUCACUAACAUUAUCUUGUGAUUAUGGUUAUGACGAAUUCACAUGGAUGGGAAUGUAUACACCACAAAAUCUAAGUGUCAUAAGGUUUCUUUCAUUCAUGAGAAUGGUUGUGAGGAAACGCUUUCACUAAGAGAGAUUUUGAAGAUAGCAUUAUGUGAUUUGGGUUUCUCAAAUUCAACUAUGAGUAUGGCAUACCUCUUCAUAGUUCGAAUUGUGGGAAAUGGCAAAUGGGUCUGAACAUUUUAGACUUGUUGAUAUGAGUCCUAGAAUCGUUUAGACAUAUACAUAUGAGCUGUCCAAGGAAAAGUAUAUGAGGUUGAGAAACUUAGUUAAAGUCUUAUCUAAGCAUCUAGUAUUAGAAAUAUGAACUUAAGAAAUUGUUUUCGAGAAGUUCAGUUGAUUUCUGAAUACAUGUCGAAGCUAGUGGGAGCAUAAGUGUUAUGCUGGUAAAGAAAUAAUCAUCAUGUAAGUAGGAGCAUGAUUAUUAUGGUAAGUAUUGCAAGUUAGCAAUAUUAAUUAUAGAAAACAAGAGUUAAACUUUGUAAAGUUGUAAGAGUUGAAAAGUUGUUUUUCUAUAAUUAAGCAAGAGAAUAUUGUACUUCGUUCAAAAUCUAAAGCUUAGAUUGAGAAAUUUUAAUAAAUUUAGUCAAAGGAUACAUAGUUUCUUCUUAAAUUUUGAUUAUGAUUACGGUAUCCCUCUUCAUAGUUCGAAUUGUAAGAACGUGACACAUAAAAUAUUAUGGCAGAAGAUUGAUAGAGUAUCGUAUCUUUAUGUAAGACAUUAUGCAUUGUGUCCCAUACGCUUCGGGUAAAGGAUCGAUUGCAAGUGCUAUAAUAUUUGAGCAUUAUAAAAUUUUUCUAAAUGUCUAGCGCAUUAAGAGGGAAAAAGGACAAGAAUCGGUUUUGACUAAGAUAAUUAAACAACUGUCAAAUGACGAUCCAAAAGUUCGUUGAGGAUUGGUCGCUUGUGAGUAGUUGGAAGUAUGGUAUUGAAUGGACCAUAUCGACAUUAUUAUGAAUAGAUAAGAUUCUAUUAAGAAUGAGUUGUCAUAUGGUAAAUAUGGAAAUGUUUCCAUAAUUGGGAGUUGGAAAUUAAGAAUUUAUGUCUAGAUUAGAAAAUUUUAUGCAAAAGGAUGUUCAAAGGAAUGUACUUUGAGUGAGAGACAUCGCAUCUAUAGAAUUGUUCUGUAACAAUUUUUGAUAGAGUACCUUGUGAUUUCGUUGGCCGAGUCUUCGUGAUUUUUGUGUCGUGACUUCACAAGAGGAUCAUUGCAUAAAAUAAUAGAAUUUGACAUAUUCUAAAAGGUGGCAAGAAUUUGGUAUUCUUACACUAAUUAUAAGGAUUGGGGAUUGUGAAAUGAGUUGCAUUUGAAAAGUUUCAAUUGAUCUAUUUCACAAAGUAUGGACCAUAGGAAACCAAAGUGUGCAUGCUUGGAGCAUGGGACAAUUGUGGUUAUGAUUCGAGUUAUAAAGUUGANGACAAUUGUAGUAAUAAUUCAAGUAAUAAGUUAAUUAACCGAAACAACAAAUAAUGAGUAAUCGAUAUGGUGAUAAAUAAAAGGUGUUUUAUUUAUACUCAAAGGUUUGGGACCAUAUAGGAUUAGUAUUAUUCUUGUGUUUCACUUUGCAUGUUUUGACUUCCUGAAUAAUUAAUUAUUUCAGAAUAAUCAAAUUAUUCGAAUGGUCCACAGUCGUUCAUAUGUUGGAAGUAGGUAUGAAUGAAGACUGUCAUGAAUUGGUUUGUAGAUUGUCUAAAGUGUAUUAGACAUAGCAAAGGUUUGCUGCAACGUUCAUGAGUGCUUAUGAAUAUGAUUUUGAGCAUUGGAUUAAACCCACGCUCACUUGGAUCGCUUCAUGGAUUUUAUCACGAGCGAUUGGUGAGACGAUAAUAUCUUGUAUUCUUGAAACCGAGAUGUGUGAGUUGUAUCUUGCGAAUCGGUUACACAUUGAUAAUAUGUAAACGCACCAGUAACUUGGUGUUAUAAAACUUAUUGUUGUGUGUGAUUUGGUGAGUGAGUGCAAGCAAACAUUGAGUCGAAGUUUAUCCGUUCCUUUUACCCAAAGUGGGAUAAAAGCGAUAUCUGUGGGCCCCUCGAUGAUUUAGUGAUGACAAACGUAAAUGCUCGGCCGGGCUAGGGCUAAUUUGAUUUGUUCAAUUAGUCAGUCGUCGUAAAUCGGAAAUCGGGAAACAACACAUAGACUGAGAGAAUGAUUUCAAUCCAUGUCUCACGUCUAUACGAUAUCUAGAAUGGAGGAAUAUAUGAUCCCUUAUCUAAAGGACAGGUUACUGAUAAGAUCAGAGUUCGACAGCGUCUUUGAGAGCUACGAUUGCUAAUCGGGUAGUACUUACUAUUAUAGUUACUAGACUUAUCCAAGUGGGAGACUGUUGGAUUAGUGUCUAAGCCCGUAACCAUAUUUGUCAAGUACUUGACCCAAUUGUGCAUGGUCCUUUUGGGUUGCCUUCACCAAAGCAACUUGACUGGAGAAAUAAUAGAGAAAAAGGUUAUUAUGAUACAUUAAUAUGUUAUAAGAAUAAUAUAUUAAAGGAGAAAUCAUAUUUGUUUAAUUAAUAUUGGUCAAUAAUUAGUUAAGAAUUAAUUUAGUGAUCAAGUGUAAUUAAUUAAACUAGAGGGGCUGAAUUGUCAUUAUGUGAUAGUUACAAAAUAUGGUAAUGGUUAUCCUAGAUAUAGGUUGGACGAAUUCAAGGGAUAAGAUAUCCUUGAAAUCGUCCAAAGGAUAAGGAUAAGGGUUUUCAAGGCUUAUCUUAUGGUUACUUGGUGGGCAAGAAACUAGAUAAGGAUAAGGACUGAAACCCUAAUCUCUACACCUAUAUAAAUACCCCUAAGGCCAUAAGAAUUCGUCCAUGCCUUGUCUAGGGUUCCUAGGGACGAGUUUCAUACCUUUUCCCUCUCUUUCUUGCCUCUCCAUUUGCUCUUGGUGUUUGUGAGCCAUUAGAGGUACUACACUUGUGGUACUUGCUUUCAAAGACAAGAAGAUUCAAGAUUUAAGUUGUUAUUACAAUAUAACAGCAAGAGGUAUGUAUUUCAUCUACUAUAUGAAUUUCGAAAUUCCUAGAAGCAUUUUAGGGUUCUUCAAGUGUUCAUGAUGUUGUAUAACUAAUAGUGAUAACAUAGAUCCAACUCUAGGGUUGCAUGCACAUAUAGGAUGUUUGUAUAAAACCCAUCACAUAUGUGGGUGUUUUGUGUAAUAACUUGUGAAACGGGGUAUUAUUUUUUCUGGUAGUGGAUGGUAAAAUGUUCACGAGAUGUUCAACAAUUUGAAGAGCCUCAACCGAAUACCUGGGAAGGAGAUAAGCUUGAAGAAGAAAGGUACGAACAAUAUUGUUAAUUGUACAUAACAUGCAUUUAGAUUUACCAUUUUGUUGGGCGGUGUUAGGACAAGAGAAACACAUAUGAAUGCCAUUUUGAUCACAAAGUCGUUGGAAUUUAUGAUUGUGGUACUCACCCCCAUUUUCACAUUGGAUAGUUUUAAUAUCGGUUUAAAAAUGGUUUAAAAUAAAAGCACGAAAGUGAACAAAUUUGGAGUAGACAUCAGAUUUGAUACGUAAAGGAUAGAUCCACACAUAAUGCGAAUAAUCAUCAAGAAAGAUAACAUAAUAUUUAAUUCCACUAAUACUAGUGACCGGAGAGGUCGACACCUCGGAGUAAACAAGUUCAAAAAGAGACAAAUAAAUAGACUUUGACAAACUAAAUGGUAAUUUGACAUGUUUGCGCAUUUGGAACGAAUCACACAAACUAUGUAACGUAUUAUUUAAACAAGAAAUAAAACGACAAGCAACUAAUUUCUUGAACUCAUGAUAGUCGGGAUGGUCGAGACGCUGAUGCCAAACAACUGGAGCAAUGGAGACAAAGGCUUGAGGAUUCGGUUUUGUAACAGGAUAGAGUUCUUCGGUGCUAUCACAUCUCAUGAGAAUUUAUUUGGUGUGUAGAUCCUUCACAGAAAAACCAAUAGGUCAAAUUCAAUAGAACAACAAUUUUCACAUGUAAAAUGACGAACAUAUAUUAUUUUUAAUGAUUUGAGGGGUUAUUAACACAUUUUUUAAAGUAAGAGUACGAUAUGGAUUAUAGUGCAGAAGAGUAGCGUGCCUGACUUUAUUUAUAGGAAUGCAGGAUCCAUCCCCAACUAAAAAGGAACAUGGAAACUUGAAAUUAUCAGAAACAGAUUGAAGGAUGCCUGCAUCCGAAUGAAGAUGAGUGGUAGCCCCGGUAUCCAUACAUGACAUCCCCAAUUUCUCGUCCAAAAAAGACCGAUUUAUUUAUGCUUAUUUAAAAUCAGAGUAUCAUUUUUAAAGAACAAUAUUGCUGAAUUGAUUCCCAAAAACAUGAUAAAAGCAUUUCCAAAGAAAUGUAUUUUAUUUAUAUUAAAAAAUUUGGGAUGUAAUCGUCAAUACAAUAAAUAAGCAUAAACGGGAAUAACAUAGGUCUUACAAACAUCUAUUAUUCUACCGGCCUAAAAUCCAUAAAUCUCUCAUCCAAUCAUCACACCUAUGUUAUUGUGCCACUACCUGUAAUACAAUAAACAGAGUGGGUCAGGAUUGGGGGCAUGUUGAGCAUAUAUGGUUUUCAGCCCACAAAUCCACAAUAACCAAAUCUUUUAAUUAUAUUUUAUCAUUCGAAUAUCAACCUAAUUACCCCAUCGCGCUAUCCUUACUCCAUGUCCCUAACAUCUAUUAUCAAGGACCUAUCCUAAGGAUCAUCUUCAGUAUAGACAAUAAUGCUUAGGGCAUUCCUCAUCAAUAUACGUCAAUAAGGCAAUCAUGGGGGGAUGGAGUACGCCUGGUGAACACUAAGUUCAAAAACACCUACAGGUUGCGAGCCUGAUAGCAUUCCAUUGGACUAUCUAGAAUAGUCUGUGGUCAUCAUCUAUACUCUACUAGACGAUUUGAUCAUCUUUAAAGUCAAGGCCUCUGAUCAUCUAUAUCAUCUUUCGUCUCUCAUCAUCUAUAUCAUCUUACAUCUAGCCAUCUUUACCCAAUAUAUUUAUAGGUAAUAAAAAUACAUAUAAAGUUUAAAAUCAAAUAAAACAUGUAUAUAUCAUUCAUCUAGCAAUGAUAUCAGGAAAAUAGAUAAUAAGCACAUAUAGCAUGUAAUUAUCUUAAAUACUUUAUAUCUAUGUGUAAGAUGAAAGUAACCAUGCAUUCCCUUGUUGAAGUGAACGACUCGAAAUCCAGGCAAAGCUUCACUUCUAGCAACUAACCUUUCCUUUGACGUGACCUAAUAUCAUUAACUCUAAGUCUUAGCCUAACAUUUCUAAUGAUAGACUAAACCUUUCAAUCAUUCCAAUGAAUACCGAUAGUUCUAUCAAAUAAUGAUCAGCCAGGCAGAAUAGUUGGGAGGCAGGAUCAUUUCGGCAUAAAGCUGUUAUGAAAUCCAACAACCAAGCCAAAAUGACCAUUCUAGAUACCUCUCCCGUAAGUAGCUUAUUCAGUAUUACGACUUGGAAUCAUUGAUAAAUCUUAUUUAUAGGUUCAUAAUAAUGGCUUAUGACAAUAAAUAUAAGUUACACUAAAAAGGCUAGAGUGUAGCUUAACAUACAAAGGUUUUAGCGAAAACUGGGAAAUUUGAACUGUUAGAACUAUGGUCUGAUAGCUACUAGAUGUCGGGCUCCUAGGGACAUCUAAACUUGCCAAAAUACCCUAAACUCUAAGAUGAAUUCGGACCAAAAAAUUAGAAAUAGAGAGAUAGAGAGAGAGAGAGAAAGAGAGAUGUAAAGAAGUUGUGGGAUGGAAUGAGCUCAUGACAUCUAUUUAUAGUCAGGAAAUUGGACAUGCAUGACACACAAGGAGGGUGCACGUCGUGCAUUUGGGCUACAUUGUUCCCCAAGUCUGCUGCCACAUGUCAGGUGCAGAUUCAUCUACGCCCCUCCUUCUAGAACGUCAGAUGCGUCGCACCACCCAUUUGUGCGCUGCACGCUUCGCAUGGAUUUCCACUUCUUUAAAAUAUCAUAUAAUCUUCAUACGAGCUCUGUAUUUUAUGUAUUUUAUAUCUAUGCAUAGCUAUCGACGAGAUCUACAACUUUCCUUUUGACUUCGUCAACUAAUUUUGACUUUAUUUUUAAAGUUAUAUUUUUAACAGUCUUAGACUGUUAAAGUCCGUUAAAAAUUUAUAACUAUAUCAUCUGAUGUCCAUUCUCGGCUAUCUUUAUAUUGAUGGAAUCCUAACAACGAGAUAUUCAACUUUCGUUUAAAUCGUUUUGGUUAACAAUGUAACGAUCUAAAAUUUUAUAUCAGUGUGCACACUGCUGCGCCGAAUCUUAGAAAAAAUCAUAACUUCCUUUACUAAACUCAGAUUUAGAUGAUAUAUAUACGUACAAAUUCGCUUUUAUGAUAACUAUGAAUUUCGCUUAUAUUACUAAGGCUAAUAAUUGACCUAUCUUCGAUUUCCUAUUUACGAUAUCCAUAGUCAUGUCAGUUCAAGCAUGAAACUUCAACGGAUCAUAACUUCUUCAUUCUAAGUCCUUUUUGAGUGCUCCUUAUCUCUAGAAUUCUUGUUACGACUACUACGUCUUACUCUUAGUGUAUCCAUCCUAAUCAGUAAUCUAUUUAGAUGCAAAUUAUAUUCCUAUUUCAAUUACGAAGCUAAACACACACACACACAUACACUAUAUAUAUAUAUAUAUAUAUAUAUAUAUAUAUAUACACACAUACAUACAUACAAGGUUGUAGUACUCGUUACUGAGUACCUAUUCGGCCAACUGCCGAGUGGCGAGUACUCGGGAGUAUUCAGAUUCAGUGAUUCAUGUUGAAAUAUUUUCAGGAAAAUUAUAAACGUCAAAAUCAUAAGCUAAAAUCAUAAGUUGAUUGAAAUAUAUAACAAAAUUAGAUACAUGUGAAUAAACAAAAACUAAAAAACACACAAUGGCCUCACAUUGUGAAUAAUUACUAAAAGUUUAAGAUAUAUAUGUAGUAAUAAUCACAUUUGUGUGUACUAAAUAAUAAAUCAUUAUGUAUAUUAUACAUAUUAAUCACCGAAUCGGCUGAUUUUUAUAACACUACUCGCUUUAGUAGGGGCUGAUCGGGGAGUACUUGGAUUCUGUAACUCGCAUCGUUAAGGGGUCGAGUAGGGAGUACUCGGCCGAGUAAUCGGCCAACUCGGUGAGUUUUACAACACUAUAUAUAUAUAUANUCACACCCCAAAACCGGAACGGCGGAAACGUUCUGGGGUGGAUGACGUCAUGUCAAGUAUCACAACAUAUGCAGUAUAGUAAUCAAAGUACAACAACCAUUGCAUUAAUAGUAAUAGUUUUACAUAAGUUACAUUUCAUGGCAAUAUCAAAGUAAUACAAGUAAUAAUAUGGGUGCAGCUUGGUACUAGGCUGUCUCCACAAAAGCUCCCGGAAUGUACCUGUCUAUCGCUGACCUGAGAAUACAAGUUAUUUUGAAAGCAAGUAUCAGCAUUUUUAUAAAUGCUGGUGAGUUCAUAAGUAUUUUGUGUCAUUUGUGUAAGGAAUCCUUUUAUUCAAAAUAACUUUAUAAAAAGUAGUAGUUUAGAAUCUACAGUGUAUUAGCGUCCUUUCCAGAAAAUCCUAUAUUUUCUAAUUAAAAGCAGUCUUCUACCAAGACUCGACAGUGUUAUGUUUUAAAGAGAAAUUUUCCCUGAAACACUAUCAUUACCAAAAUACGAUAUUUGACUUUAAAGAAAGUAGGAGAAUGUCACUAGUAAAAAUACUAGGGGAAAAUAACAUAUGCCUCAGCAGAAAAUAUUGCUGACUAAGGCAAAAGAAAUCAUAGACUCCAGGAGAGUAUCGAAUGAAUGAUACGCCUGCUCAGUCUAAAAAAAGGAGACACAGACCCCAGACGGUAUCAAUUGUACGAUACGGCUAGCAAGGUCUAAAACAAAGAAACACGGACCCUAGAUAGUAUCAAAUGAAAGAUACAGCUAGCAAGGUCUAAAACAGAGAAACACAGACCCCAGACAGUAUCAAAUGAAAGAUACAGCUAGCAAGGUCUAAAACAAAGGGAAAGUCUUAAAUGGGUUGUUUCAAGAAUACAAUGUUAGAUUCUCGUUACCUUAAGGCCAUGAAUUAUAAGGUAAGCAUGGAGAUACUCAUAACCAUACUGAUUGACACUAGAGUACUUCACGCCCUGCAAGCGUCGGAAUAAAUAUGACAUUUGUCACCCCUUGGCUUGGUAGGCCGUGGACUGUAGCUAGCAGUCAGGGUGUGCGAGUGUCAGUCCCGUAUAGAUCUAUACACACAAUGCCCGCUCUCCCUACAGGAGACUCUGGUUACCAACUCGACGACGGGGAGAUUCGUGUCUUGAAGAUGCAUCUCGUAAUCUGAAUUCUAUUAGAGGCGNUAACAAUAUAGACUCACAAAUGAACUGACUCCUUUGGAAUUCUCGUACUAGAAAGAGUAAAUAGAACCUCCUAACUAUUCUUAUAAUAGUUACUAGUGUCUCUGAUCUAUGAAUGAUGAAUGGAAGGAUACCCUUGCUACCCAAGGGAAAUGAACUGGUCGAUGUAAACCUUUAUGUCUAUACGUGUAUACAUGAUAUAUAACUAAUGUUUAAACGACCUUCGGACGGAUAUCCGAUACCCACCAGACCACAUCCCAACGAGGAAAAGGAAAUAGGGCGAACUAGCCUUCCUAAAUCUUUUAAACAUUAUUUAUAUAACUAUACAAGUACAGUCAUGCAUUUAACGAAGUAGAAGCCUAGAAGUAUAGAAGAAAAUUUUGGUAAAACCUUUGGAAAACCUUUAAAAAUAAGAAUUUACGACUUGAUAUCGUUAUGUAAAACAAGCUUUGAAAACCGUUCAUAAACACGUUUUGAACAUAAUUUAAUAACACAGUAUAAGUAAAGAAAACCUUUGUUUAAAACACUGUUGUAACUGUUUAGAAGCAAAACAUACAGCACGAGAGAUAAUUUGAGAAAAGAUUUAAACAAGUAAAGACGUUUUGGAAAACCAUCUAUAAUAUUAUUCUUGGUAAAACAGCUGAAAGUGUGAUAAUUCUUGUGCAUGCGGGUUAUUAAUCACAUAGGAUUGAUAUGAUAACCAGCAUGUUUUAACUUGUAUUCCCCCCCCCCCAUAAAAUCAUGUAAAAACAUUUAAAAGGUUAAUUCACGGGUAUGAACUCACCUAACGUUGGCGUUCGGAUGAAUGGACGGUAUAGGAUGCUAAGUGUCAAGUGAGGACUUGACCACACACGCGAAUCCUAUUUAACAUGUAAUGAUACAUUUAAGUAUCUAAUUAGUCAUUUACCAACUAAUUAAGCAAGUAAGGAUGUCUUACUACAUAAAAACACUUUGCUACAAGUGCUAGAAGUAUCAAGGGUUGCAUAGAAGGUGUGUAUGGACUCACAUUGGAGUUUACUCUUCAAAUGAUGGCCCUUAUGGGUGUUUACGGUUUCAAGACCACUUCCCCCAUGAUUUUACGUCCGUAAACUCAUGGUAGUGGUGUCAUGGGAUGUUUAAAGGUAUUAUCUCACUCAUAAAAUCAUGCUAGAGUCGAAUCAAGGGCUAAGGAAGUGAUUGGGGCUCCAAAUGGACACUUUAUGGAGUUUACGGUCCUUGGACCACUCCCUUGGGAGUUUACGGCCAUAAAAACAUGAGUUUACAGUCAUAAACUCAUGUUUGGCCAUUUAUUUUGUUGUUUGGUGGUUCUAACUCAUGCACGCAAGGUUCUAGUCACUUAUAUGAGCAUAGGAAGGUGUUAAAGGCACUUAAACACCUUGGAAAGGAAUUUAUGGUCUAUGAAGGUGUUCUUGGGGAGUUUACUACCUUAAACACAUGAGUUUACGGUAGUAAACUCAUGUUUGUCCAUGAAUCAUAUGUUUUGGUGCAUCCAAUGAAGGAUUACAAGGCUCUAGGCACUCGUGGAAGCAUUUGGAGGUGUUUGAGGGGUAGUUUAACACCCAAAAAGGUGUUUAUGGUUCUUGAAGAUGGGUUUACGGUCUAAGAAUGUCCAUAGACCAUAAACUCAUGUUUACUCCCCAUAUGCUAAGAUUUUGGUGUUCUAAGUCCUUUCAUGCAAGCCUCUAAGUCAUUGUUAAGCAUUAGAAGUGGUUUGGAAGGGUUUUUGGGCACCAAAACCCUCUUUCAAGGUGUUUACGGUUUUGGGAUGCUCCCAAGACCGUAGACUCUUGUUCUUGGGGUUUUUGGAUGUUUAAGCCACGAAUUUGCAAGUCAAAUGAGCUAAACAACAAGCUAGGAAGGUUAUCUUACCGAUUUGAAGCUCGAAGGGGCGAUUUUUGACCAAAACCUGAUUUGUAGAGAGAGAAAGUAGAGAGAGAGACUCCUAAGGUGUGAAAAGGGUUGGAAUGAAACCCACUCAACCCUUAUAUAGGGUGGAGUUUAUGGCCUGGUUGGGGGUCCACCUGACACCAACCGCGAACGGGGUUUUUCACGACUACCGUUAAACACGACAAAUUUUAAAAUUAUACCUCCUUAAUUUUGGUUCGCUUGACGAAUAUUAUUUAAAAUAUUCCAACGGGUUUAAAUCCGGUCAUAAAUAUUUUGGGAUAAAUUUGGCUAAUUUUUGACGUACUUAAUUUCGAUGUUAAAACUGACGGAAAUUUUUGGGUUGUCACAAUACAUGUAUACAUACAUACACACACACACAAAUACCACGUAAUACUCAAAUAAAUAUCCUUUAUUUAUCUAAAAUGGCUACAUUAGUUGACACUAACUAGUACAUCAUCUUUAUUAAUGUCUAGCGGGAAACGCGGGCAUUACACCAUACACCAACUGGUAGCAGCAACAUCGUUAAGAGUAAUUAUAUUAAACAUUUGAGGAAUGGUGGUUUGUGAUGGAGAAUAGUGCCCAUAAGAAUAACAAGCCAUGUACUAUUACAAUAAAUAACAGUGUCCUUUUUACACACAAGAACAAAAUAAAGCAAAAUUGAAAAGACAUUUAUUUUAGGGACUUGUUUUGUUAAUUAAUUAAUAGAUUAAUUAGAAAACAUGGAGAAUAUGGAAUAUUCAAGAAUUGUUUGAUUCUUCAAUAAUUACCAAUAUCCUAGAUAAUUAUUAAUAGAUUUUGUAAUUAUCUUUAACAUUUCAAACCACCUCCUUAUAAAUAAAGCAGUCAAAUCUUGGUUUUGGAUGGAUGAAAACUUAUCAUUCUUACUCCAAAAGUCAUAACCUGUAAGAAAACCCUAGAAACCUCGAAGGCCUUCGAUGUCACGAAAUGAAACCUCUUUUGUAACGUCAUGAUGAUGAAUAGUGUCUUCGAUUUGAUCUUGCAUCAUGUUGCUUCAUGGUGGGGUGUUCAAAUAUACUGGAGUUUUGCAUCUUGGGUGCAAUUACAAGAGAUUAACUCUACUUUUGAUUCUCUAGUCCAAUCAACUUGAUCAUCAAAAUAAGAAUUCUACAAUGAAUUCAAAGGUAUGUUUUUGUUCUAUUGAGUUCUAAAUGAUUUGCAUAGAUUAGUUGAGUUUAGAUCCAAUUGUUUGGAUUGUUAGAUCAUAUUUGUUUAUUUUUCCCACGAAUCUAUGUUUGGUCUAAUGAGGCUCGAAACUCAUCAUUGGUAUCAGAGCCUGGUUAGCUUAAAUCUAUUGCACUUAGAUUUUUACUUUUGAGUAUGUUAGGGUUUGUAUGUUUAGGGGUUUUUGUUUUAAAUUGUUGAAAUGUCGAGACAUUUUACUUGAUUGAAUUGAGUUUCGUAAUGCAUUAAAAAUCAACGGAUAAGUCGAUUUGCCUCUUCGUCACGACGUGACUAGUUCUCCAUCACAUUGCGACUGACUUCGCCGCCACGAAGUGACCAUAUCUUGUCACAUUGUGACUUGAAGCUGAGAAAUAAAAAUAAUAAUUUAUCAAAAAUUGGGUGUUUUCUGUGUGUCACGACGUGGCAGAUUUUGGAUUCAUGAUCCUCGGCUAAUCUAGUCGUGAAUGCUGAAUUAGCAUAAGAAGAGAUGAACAUGCUAUUGUCAUGGUCGAUUCACUAUUUGGAUUCAUGAUCCUCAGCUAAUCUAGUCGUGAAUGCUGAAUUAGCAUAAGAAGAGAUGAACAUGCUAUUGUCAUAGUGUCAAUAAAUCUCAAAAGAUCUAGGAAUCUCAAAAUAUUAAGAUUGACAAUUGGUUGUCUACCUAAAUAACUUCUUGGUGUGAUUUUUGCUAAUCCACUUCACAUAUUGGAGUGAAAUAUGGAUCCUAGCCUUGUUUGAAAUAAUUUGGUAGUUGGGUAAUUAUUCAUUAAGGAUCAAUAAAACAAACUAGUACUAAUCAUUAAUUGAAUGAUAUCUUAAAUUUUGUAACACUUUAUCCGUAUCUUUAAGUUUGGUCUUAAAAUUAUAAAAGCUUUCAUUUUGGUCCAUGUUACGCUAGGCGUAACUUGGAGUACACAUGGCGUACUCUCUUUAAGUCGGACACGAGGAUCCCAUAGUAUGUUGGGCGUACCUUAGUGUACACUGGGCGUACUUGCUUAGACCACAAACCCUAAUUUUUAGGGUUUGCCCCUAUUUAAGCAACAUUAUGGACCUUGAGGCUGGCCNGCUCCCCCCUCAUUAGCCUCCUUACCCUAAAAAGAUCCCCACAAAACCCUAGCCUCAAUUUGAGUGUUCCUGAGCCUUGGUUGUGUUCUUAUGGUGUUUUUGGGUACCUUAAAGAAGAAAAAGCUUGGUGGUGAAGCAUUGGUUGAGUUAGAGCUUGAAGAUCCAAAAUCUUCAACAUCUUUGCAAGCCUCAGAAGGUAUAAAGCUCUGAACUUUAUGACUCUUAGUGUAGAUCUUGUAUGUGGGUAAAAUAUUAUGCUCUUUGGUCCCAUAAGAUGAUUCUUGUGAUUAAAUUAUACUCUAGAGGUCUUCAGUUGUCUUUUGAUGUUUCUGAGGUUCCUUGAUGAUAAAGUUUGCAUCUUGAUGGUUGAGGACCAACCAUGCAAAAGUUUAUGAUCAUUUUAUUAAUAAAGAAUGCUAGAUCUAGGAUUUGGACUUCUUGGAGCCAUGCAGUGGAUUAAAGCUUCGGACUUUUUGGAUUACGACCUUCUUUAGAAGUAGAUCUGAGGUUUGAACGUUAAGGUCUUAAGGGAUUAAGCCAUAUAGAUGAGAAAAAGCCACUGACCAGUAUGUUAGGCGUACUUUUGAGUGCGCUGCACGUACUAGGUUUGAGUCUUGUUUUUUUUUCCAUGUUAUUUGGAAUUAUAUGUUGGGCAUAAUCUCAUGGUAUGCAUGGCAUACUCACUAGCUAGGCUUUUUGGCCUUUAACUAGUUUGGACCAUUGUUGGGCCAUAAUUCUUUAUGGAUUUAGGCCAUUGUUCGUCAAUGGGCUUCUUUAGUCGUAAAAAUCAUUCAUUAUCUUAUUAAUUAUUGUUGAUUUUAUAUCAUUUAUGGUCAAAAGGCACUUAAUUAGCUUAAUAUUUCAAUUUCAGUAUUAAAAGACAUGCUCGGGUGAAAAAGGAAGAGGAUUGAGUAAUUGGAUGCUUAGAGAUUGAAGAUUAAAGAAAGAAGCUGAAAAAAGAAGGAAGUCGAGGAGUUUUUAGCACAAACUCGACGAGUUGGUUAGUAAUUCUCGAUUUAAGGAUGCCUUGCCGUACACGCUGUAUACGCGAAUUAUUGAAGAAACUCCUCGAGUUAUUCUUAAAAACUCGACGAGUUGGAUUGAUUUUUGGUAACUAUAAAUAGAUAACUUCUAGGCCCGAAAACCUAACUUUUGUUGGAGGCUAGCUGCGAAUUUUGAAGAUCAAAAGGGUUCUUGGAGCUGCUGUUAUCGAGAUUUCAACGCAAGAAACAAUUUCAAAGAGAAUCAAAGGCAAACAAUCAUUCUUCUUUUAUUAAUCUUUGCUUUUAACUAUGUUUGAAUCAUUAGGCUUUGAAAUUAGGUUAUUACUUGCUGUAGACAUGAGCUAAAAGCUUUUUACUUCUGUUUGGAUGAGAUGAUCUUAUGAUCAUGGUUCGAUGGAGUGGUUGAAUUGAUAUUAAUUUGGUUAUUUAUCUUGUCAAGCUUAUUUAAGAUCCUUAUGUAUUGAUGAUAUAUGUUUUCAGUUAACAAAUAAGUGAUUGAGUUGCAUGAAUAUCUUCUUGAUUACUUGAUUCAUAUAGUUUUAUGAAAAUAAGAUUGUAUGCCUAGGAGUAGUGAAUAUGAAACUAAGGUUAACUAGAAAAUGUGUAAAUCAAUGUGUGAGCAUGUGUGAUGAACAACCAUACAUGAGUUGAUUGAAUUGAACAAAUUUGAUUAACUAUUGUUAUAAGUCUUGCUUGAUACGAACUGAACACUAGGAAACUUGUUAAUUUAAUCACUUGAUCACCGUUUAAACUAACUUGUCUACUAAAGGAUUGGAAAUAAGGAACAUUAACACAAUCACAUUAGGAAUCAGUAACCAUUGAUAUAUUAAUUCAUUGCACUUACCAAGAAAUCAACCAUAGGAAUAAGUGAAUUGAAUCUAAACAGAAGUCUCUUUUAUCAUUGAAUCUAGUUGUCCUUUCUUUUUCUUCUUAGUUGUUAAUUGUCUUUUUUUGAGUUUUAAAGUGCUUGUUUAAGUUUAUAGUCUUGCAAAACUAGAGAAAACCCCCCUCUUUUAUUAAUUGUUUCUAAUUAGGUAAUACUAGUACUUAAUUUGAUUGUUACCGUUCCCUGUGUUCGAUACCCUACUUGCUUAAACUAUACUAUUAAUCGAUAGGUUCACUGCCUUUUGUGUGUUUAAUUUGUGUUUGAAGUAAUAGGAUUAAAACUAGUGCGUUUUACACACAUCAAGUUUUUGGCGCUGUUGCCGGGGAACGGUUCUAAUAGUUAUCUUAUUUGCUAAUAUUAUCGACCCUUUGUGUUAGAUCUUUCUCGCAUAAAGUUACUUGUUUUUAGUUUUUAAAUUUUCUUGUUUUCUGUGUUUUUGCAUUAAACUCGUCGAGUUUAUUAUUGAACUCGACGAGUCUCUUCUGUUUUCAGUUUCGUUACUUCUUCGUUUUUGUUCGUUUUAUGCUUGUUUUUCUGUUUUGUUUCAGAUUUUUAUGACCUGAGGCUCUAGUUCUACACUAGUGCCACCCGUAGAAGAUCCAGAGUUGAUUAUUUGCAAAAAAGGGGGAAAAACAAUCGAAGAACCUGAAGAUCUUAACAAAAUCCACAGUAAGAAGGUAGAAGGCCACGAAUCCAACACACCCAUGUUUGGUGAAGAAAGCGAUUCCGAGCAAGAAGACAACAUGUCCGACAUCUCCGACAUACUAAUGGGAGACUACAAGAAGCUCAUAAGAUAUGGUACCGGGCCAGGACUCGUGCAACCAGCAAUCCCAGCUACCGCCAACUUUGAGCUGAAGGGUCACAUACUCGCACAACUAAAAGACAUUCCAUUCUAUGGAAAGGAGCACGAAGAUGCUUAUAAGCAUAUUGAAGAAGUUAUGUACAUUGCUGACUAUUUCCACAUGCCAAAUGUACCUCGUGGUACGGUUUUGCUUCGGAUGUUACCGGUUACAUUCAAAGGAGCCGCAAAGGAAUGGUUGAAGUAUUUAGCCCCAGGAUCCAUUACAACAUGGCAAAAGAUGCGCGAAGAGUUCAUUGACCGGUUUUGUCCACCUUCCAAGAUUGAAAAUUUGAAGAAAGCAAUUGCUAACUUUGAGCAAUUUCCGGGGGAAUCACUCUAUGAGGCGUGGGAGAGAUACAAUGGGUUGAUAAGAAAUUUCCCUCAAAACGACCUAAACGUGCAACAAGAGGUUUCCAUCUUUUAUGAUGGUGUGAACGUCACAACUAGGCAAUUACUCGAUUCCCAAGGACCCCUCACUAAGAAAGCACCAGCCGUCAUUAAAACAUUGGUAGAAGAAUUCUCCAAACAUUCAAGGGAGUACCAUAAUCUAAGGAACGAUACAACUAGAGGCGUGGUUAACUCAGUUUCUGAUGACAUGGCGGCAAUGAUGGCCAAACUAGAAAGUAUGGAUUGUAGGAUGACAAAAAUGGACCAAUCCAUCCACUCCAUUAGGGUGGGUUAUGACAAUUGUAACGGUCCCCAUCUUACUAAGGAUUGCGAUAUUGAUGAGAAUGGCAACCGGAAGGCACAAGUUUGUUACUCAAGUGGCGAUAGAUUUGAAGAUGAUUGGCGAAAGCCCAAGAAGGAGUGGCUUCCCUACGACGAGUACAAAAAGGAAAAGAAGGAGCAGUAUAGGCAAAAGACACGCGGAUUUUAUCAAGCAGAUAUGCAAGAAGAUCCUCCCGUCAUUCCAAUAAAUGAUGAGCUUCCUAUGGAUCCUUAUAGUGUUGAGCUAAGGGCGUUUCAAGAUGAGUUAGCAAGAAGCUUGAAUUAUGGACAUAGAAAUUUGGUUCAUAUGAACAUUCCAAGGAUGGAAGAUGAACCAGAUUAUCCAUAUGUGAGGAAUUGGAGUGAGAGGUGGAGUAUGCGUCAAAGUGGAGCCGGAGGAAGCGAGUUUGGAGGAGAAGAAAGUGAAGAUGAAGAUUAAUUAUCCUUUCCUUAUCUUUUAUUUUGUUUGGCUUGUUUGAAUUAUUUUUAUUUUUGUUUAUUUGGUGUUUUUUUUUUGUUUUUUGAUAUUUAAACUUCUAGUAAUUUAGGAUUUUAUUAGUAUGUUUUCCUUUUAUUACUUUGUGUUUGUUUCUUUUGUUGUUUUCAGAAUAUAAGUUGAGGAAAGAAUGAAAGAAUAUAGUGUGAGGGGUAUAACGUGAGAUCGAGUCUAAAACAAGAAGAGUGAGAAAAUUAAGUCUAUUCGCAAGAUCGGUGAACAAAAGGAUUGAAAACAUGUGCUUUCGCUGAAGAAGAAUGAAGGGAAAUAUUGCCAUAAUCAUUCCCUUCAAAACCAGAAACGAAAAAUGAAGUUGGGGUAUAUUUUGUUCUCUCAGUAAACAAAACUCGUCGAGUUCCUUAAAUAAACUCGACGAGUUCCUUUGAAGAAGCCCAACUGUGCCAGUUUUAGCAACCUAACUCAACGAGUUCACAUUGUACUCAUCGAUUUUCUCUUUCUCUUACCUUUGAGUUGGUGAUUUGAUUACAUUCUACGGAGGCAUUUGGCUGUACUAUCAACGUUUAUUUUCCGAGCAUUUCCAAGACCUUUUUCCUGUAUAUUUUGGGAGCCUAACCACAUGAGAUUUGACACCCAAGGCAUGGAUGAGUUGUUCCCAUGUCUAAAGUCAACUGAAGAUGGAGCUUAACAAGAAGGAUAUCAACCUCGCAACUACUAUCCCAGGGGAGUUUGUUCUAAUUCUCUCUUUACUUUUAUGUUCUUUUUCAUGCAUAACAUGCAAUGGGGACAUUGCAUACUUUAAGUGUGGGGUAGGGGGUUGAUUACAUUUAGUGAAAAAAAAAUUAGAAUCCUUUGAAUCCUUGGUUUGAAAAAAAAUUUCAUAAAAAAAUUGCUAGGCUUAAUUUAGAAAAUAUUGGUAAAGCAAUUAGGAUUCCAUGCUAGUAUUGUGUUUGAUGAUUCCUUAAGGACCUAAAUGUUUAAUUGAGCCUAUACACGUUAUAAUGCAUUUGUGGUCUCCUUUAUUCUAGUGAAAUCAUGGAACAAAAACACAACCUCGCUUAGUUUGAGGAUCGCAAUAUGUUUAGCAGCGUGUACUUGAAAUGUAUCCAGGAAGACUUAAGUAGUCAUUGCACAUGAGACUAAUGCCUUUAACCAAUAAAGGAUGAAGUUAAAUCCCAUUGCGUAAGCAUAUGUUUUUUUUUCUCUAGGUUUUUAGUUUGAGUGAAAAAAAAAGAGAAAAGAAAGAAAAGAAAAGUUGAAAAAAAAGAGUGAUGAAAUAUUUGAAUAAAGACUCUACAAAGCUAUGAAGACAAAGAAGAAUAUCAUGAAGAAAAGCUACAAAGUAGAAAAUAUUCAAUCAAAAUUUGUAUUUGUCUUUUAUUUGUAAUUUUCUUUUCUAGGUUAUUUUUUUGUAUGUGUGCUUGGGGAUUUAACCAAAAAUGACUUGAGGUUAAGAAAGUUUUCUGUGGAUGGAUUCGGAGGGAUGCAUAAAAUGAGCGUUGUUUGAAAGAAUUGGGCGAGUGUUUAUGAGGAUUAUAAGUAUUUAGAAUUGAGGGGGGUCCUUAGGAAAAUUUUUAGACACAAAUGCAUGCGUUGCGGCCUUAUCAUAAUGGGUAGGUUCGAUUGGGAUUUUCUUAUAUGAUAUUAGUGUGCUAAAAUUCAGUUUUGAUUGGGGGCAAGCAAAAGUCAAGUGUGGGGUAUUUUGAUAUAGGCAUAUUUAGUCGUAAAAAUCAUUCAUUAUCUUAUUAAUUAUUGUUGAUUUUAUAUCAUUUAUGGUCAAAAGGCACUUAAUUAGCUUAAUAUUUCAAUUUCAGUAAUAAAAGACAUGCUCGGGUGAAAAAGGAAGAGGAUUGAGUAAUUGGAUGCUUAGAGAUUGAAGAUUAAAGAAAGAAGCUGAAAAAAAGAAGGAACUCGAGGAGUUUUUAGCACAAACUCAACGAGUUGGUUAGAAUAUUCUCGAUUUAAGGAUGCCUUGUCGUACACGCUGUAUAUGCGAAUUAUUGAAGAAACUCGUCGAGUUAUUCUUAAAAACUCGACGAGUUGGAUUGAUUUUUGGUAACUAUAAAUAGAUAACUUCUAGGCCCGAAAACUUAACUUUUGUUGGAGGCUAGCUUUGACUUUUGAAGAUCAGAAGGGUUCUUGGAGAUACUGUUUUCGAGAUUUCAACGCAAGAAACAAUUUCAAAGAGAAUCAAAGGCAAACAAUCAUUCUUCUUUUAUUAAUCUUUGCUUUGAACUAUGUUUGAAUCAUUAGGCUUUGAAAUUAGGUUAUUACUUGCUGUAGACAUGAGCUAAAAGCUUUUUUACUUCUGUUUGGAUGAGAUAAUCUUAUGAUCAUGGUUCGAUUGAGUGGUUGAAUUGAUAUUAAUUUGGUUAUUCAUCUUGUCAAGCUUAUUUAAGAUCCUUAUGUAUUGAUGAUAAAUGUUUUCAGUUAACAAAUAAGUGAUUGAGUUGCAUGAAUAUCUUCUUGAUUACUUGACUCAUAUAUUUUUAUGAAUAUAAGAUUGUAUGCCUAGGAGUAGUGAAUAUGAAACUAGAGUUAACUAGAAAAUGUGUAAAUCAAUGUGUGAGCAUGUGUGAUGAACAACCAUACAUGAGUUGAUUGAAUUGAACAAAUUUGAUUAACUGUUGUUAUAAGUCUUGCUUGAUACGAACUGAACACUAGGAAACUUGUUAGUUUAAUCACUUGAUCACCAUUUUAACUAACUUGUCUACUAAUGGAUUGGUAAUAAUGAACAUGAACCCAAUCACAUUAGAAAUCGGUAACCAUUGACAUAUUAAUGCAUUGCACUUACCACGAAAUCAACCAUAGGAAUAAGUAAAUCGAAUCUAAACAGGAGUCUCUUUUAUCAUUGAAUCUAGUUGUCCUUUCUUGUUCUUCUUAGUUGUUAAUUGUCUUUGUUUGAGUUUUAAAGUGCUUGUUUAAGUUUCUAGUCUUGCAAUACUAGAGAACCCCCCCCCCCCUCUUUUAUUAGUUGGGCCUUAGGUAUUGAUGGAUUUGGGUCAUUUAUGGGCGUUGGACCAUUUUGGGUUUUGGGCUAUGAUUAGUUAUGCCCAAUAAGGUUAGGGAAAAUGGUAUUUUAUCCUAGGAGUCAGGAUUAAGGAGUUAGACUCUCGGUUAUGGUCUAUGGCCUAAUUGUUAAUUAAGGUUUUAUUAUUUGUGAUUUAGUGCGGGGAUUUUCAAGUUCAGCAGCCCGACUGUUAUUUGUUUAUCAGCGGAUCGAGGUGUGUCUUCUCACUGUACUAUAGGACACUAGGUGUCAUUGUAUGCUUGUUGUCUGUGAGACUCUUUCUUAUAUGUCUGCAUGUUAUGAAUACCGGGCGUACCUCAAUGCCGUGUAGGGUCCUAUGGAUUUUGGGUGAGGCUUGAGGGAUACUGGGUGGGGCCUGUUGUAUGUAUGGUAUGUGGUAUUUUAGGGAAACUCACUAAGCUUUGUGCUUGCAGUUUUUAGUUUAUGUUUCAGGUACUUCCGGUUCGAAGGGAAAGAGCUCGGGAUGAUCAUAUUGCACACACCAUGUUUUCGCAUUAUUGACUCUGAUGUAUUUUGGAUAUGGAUGAUAUGCUCUGAUUUUUCCAUUUUGGUUUUCUAUGAAUAACAAUUGGUUGGUUUCUUAUCUAAUAUAAAAUGAAAUUUUUUGUUAUAAAUUUUGGGGCGUUACCAAAGUAUCCACUAAAAGUUAAUUGCUAUAAAAACCUUUAAAAAGGAAAAGCUAGAAGGAUUGACCAAUCUUGUUCGUGUUUUGAGAAUAGUACUCUUAAAAGAAAAAAAAGAUUGUACCUUUAUCUAUAGGAAGGAGAAAGUAUCAAAUAUACAUAUUACAUCGAUAGCAUGAAUACUAUAUGGAACUCCGUCAAGAUUAUGAGUUGGCUAUGGAAAUAUAAUCGACUCAUAUAAUUAGGUAAUUCUGAUUUAAUAUGAGCAACUUAGAAAGAUCCAUCUUAGCAAAUGUUAAGUGUACAAACUGAAUCAAUAUUGAAUUCCAUCGUGUUGGGAGUUGACUAUGGUGACAUAACCAACUAGCCAACUAGUGCAUAUAAUUAGAUGAUUCUAAUAUGAGCUAUAUGGAAAGAUCCAUUACGGAACUACAUUGCAUGUUGAGCACCUUUGGAACUAACAUGACAAAUUAGAGAGACACCAAGCUUCAAAGAAGUAAGUGCAUGAAUAAUAUUGAAGAAACAUGGAAUUUCAUUCGUUGGAAGUGGCAAUGAUCAACUGAUUUUGCUUUAGCAUUGAUAACCUAAAAAUAUCCAUUAUGGAGCUGCAUGACAUGUUAAGGACUAUUUGGAACUAACAUAGUUAAAAGCUUCAAAUGCUCAUACUGAUAGUCGUCAUGAAAGAAGUGUCAAGAUGAAGAAAGCCAAUUGUCCAUAGGCAAAAGGAUGUCCUUAGUUGGUGUAUCCAAUCACAACAUUAAAUGCAAAGAACGAUAGAUAGGCUCAUUCUGAGACGUAUUCUGAUAGGUUGAAUUGGUACUAGGAAAAGGACUAAGAAAAGCACAAUUGCCCAAAUUAAUCUGAUGUAGACUAAAACCUAAAGAUGAGUUUACUGAUCAUCGAUAACGAGGAACCACAAUAUUUUUAAGGGAUCAACUCAUUCUUCUAAGUGUUUAGUUUAUAAUUAGAAUAAUGAAUCCAUAACACCGUUGAAAUUUUACUUUAAAUUCUUGAAUGUUUCACUAAAGGAUGAGUCCUGACUUUUUCAAGAAUGUGAACUGGCAAAAAUGAAGUAAUAGACUAUAACAUAUAGAUGUGAUUAUGAUCAAGGACAUCGAUUCGAGUUCCUUUACUCUCCUUAGAAUCAUAAGAUGACUCUUUCUCUUAAAUGUUAAGUCUAUUGUCUUAUGAUUGAAAUUGUUCAUAUAAUGUUUUCGUAAAAUAGUUCUAGCUUAUUUAAAUAAAGAACAUUUCAUAUGUUUUCUAUUUAAAAGUAAGUCACGAAAUCUUUGAAACUAGUGUUGUAACAAUAGUUCAAUGGAGAUUCAUUGGUUGGAUUAAAUGCAUUUAUGGAGUCAUCUUCUUGAAUAAGAGUUUCAUUGCCAAAUAUGCAGUUAGAUUGGAUUUUGGAAUUCAUUUGACCCUAAGUUUUAUGAUAAAUGCAAAUUUUAUUUCUCAAGAAUGAUGAAAACAACACCAUAAAGUGAAAAAAAAAAUGUCUGUUGGAAUUAGUUUACACUAAUUUUCCAUUCAGAUUAACAAUGAUGCAUGUUGAUCCAAAUAUAUCCAAAGUGUUUAGAUCAUUGUCUUUAAAUAUGUGAAUGAGAAGUGCAUCACCAAAUAUUCAGUUAGAUAGAAUUUUGGAUGUCAUUAGACCAUAAAUCUUUUGACUAAUACAUAUAUCAUAAUAUUAAGAUAAAUGACAAACAAAUCACUCCAUGAUGCUAUCAUUUGUUGGAAUUAGUUCUUGCUAAUUUUCCAUUCAAAUUGAUCAUGAAACGAAGUUCAUAGUCAAUUGGGUAAAAGGAUAAGAAAAUCUAAUCCAGUAGGAUAAUGAGAAUCUUGAUCAAAAGGUUAACGAUCAUCAAAUGGAAUUGUGAAGCAGUUUCACAACUCGUCACAAACCAAAAUAUUAUCAUAAGCAAUAUAGUUGGAUAGAGAAACAAAAUCAUUGUUUGAUUUGUAACUGGCGAGUCGUAUUGUGCUUACAAACAAUUUAUGGAUUGUACUAUGAGUGAGUGUUACAAGACUCCUUGGUCUUGUACAAACUAAGAAAGUUUUGCGCUCUAUAAAAUGGACUAUUUCGUAGGACGCCCGAACUACAUUUUUGGAAACCCUAUGAGGACAAAGUAUUUGUUACUUUAAGGAAAUUCUUUGAAACGAGAGAGAUAAUAUCCAAAAGAACUGGUAUGAUCCAUAUUGAUCUUGAUAAGACUCAAGAAUCAAUUAACAAAUAGCCCAAAUAAAAACACUAGCACUUAAUUAGAGGUUAACACCUAUUAAGAAAAGUGAUAUCUCUCUAUCUGUGCGACAUAGAUCUAAUAAGUGAUGUCAUUGACCGUGUUGACUACAUGUCAUGUGAGAAAUGAGUCACUGAUAGAUUGUGAUCAAAGUCUAUCGGAAGCUAUGGAAGGCCCAACCAGAUCAAAUUGGAGGAAGAUAUGAGGAAUGAGAUUCAGACCAUCUAUGUUUGAAAUUUGAAUUUUUCCAACACUUUUUGUUUAUGGAUCUUCAAAAGAUGACAAACAUGGAUAGGACCACAUAUAUACUUAAACCAAGGUGGGUUGUGAUAGUUAUGUGGGCUUGAGAAGUGCAUUGAUGGGCUGUAACAACCAUCUCAUGUUAAGAUCAUUUUCUUCAAUGAGAAUUUCAAAAGGUUGAAUUAAAAUAAAAAAAGAUAGACCAUACAAAUGUUAGAGCUAGUAGGAGAAAUGUUAUCCCUUGUAUUGAAAUAGAAACAAUGUCCUAACUUUGUUGAGUGUAAAAUAUUUACAUAGGUUAGGAAUUCUUUCGCUGUGAAACACACGAUAUGAACAAGAAAGCAUCCUUAGAGUCUAUGGAGAUAGAUGUAAGUUAUUCAUUGAAUUAAGCCAAAGUACUUGGAAUCUUGAGGAAAUUUAAGACACAUAAUUCUUAAAGAGUUCGUGCUAGUAAUAGUAAUGAAUCGCUUUCCUUGUGAAUGAUAAGUCAUAUUAACAUCAUUUUGGAUAUAAUCAAUGAAUCAAAAAAUCAAUAAUCAAGAAAUAUUCUUUGAAUUCCUAAAAGGAUGAAAGAGAUAAUCUUGUUAGUAUGGAAGAAAUCAAUGAAAUAGUUACAUUGAUGGUCAGUUCCUUACUAAUACAGACGUUUACGUUUAGUAGUUGGAGUUCAUGCUCUUAAUUAAUAAGGUAUUAGCUUGGAAAAGUACUAAAUAAUACACCUAAGUGGAUUUAAUAAUAAGCUUUGAGUAUAUUGCAAUAAGUUAGCUUGUAAUGACAAACUAUGUGACUAAAAGAAAUUCAAAAGCGACCCUAAUAUUGUAUUCCAUCAUUGAUGGUUCUCUUGAAGUUUAUUGUGACUAUAAGGGGACUUCACCUCGUGUAUGUAUCCCAUGUUACAUAAGAUCACAUGGUAAAUACUCAGUAAGUACCUUCACAAAUGUGAGGACGUCAUAGUUAACUAAAUGGAACCUUGUUGAUUCUUACCUUUAAACUAAAUCCCUAUUCAAGGUUAAUAGUCACAUAAAGAUAUAAUGUCAUUAGACUUGCAUGUGUAUUAACUUGAGUAUUUUAGUUUUAGCUUGUUUUAAUUUAGGAACUGAUGCAAUAUAGGUCACUAUUUGAUUUGACGAUUAUUAAGUGAUGAACUUAAUAUUUGAUGGAGACUAGUCAUUUCAUUUAGGAUGUUUUUUUGUUCCAAUUUUGCAUAUUUAGAACCACUUCCAGAGUAAUAUAUUAUUCAAACUCCCACAAUCAGUCCUACUCUUGGGAGAUAUUAGUGAAUUAAGAUUUUCAUAGUAUUGGUAGAUUGUUUAUAGAGAUGAACAUAGCUAAGUCUUGCAACCAAUACGGAUGAGUACUUGAAAAUAGAGAUUUUAAGUAUUGGAGUAACCAUGCUUAAAGAUUACUUCAUGAAUCAUGUCAUGAGUAAAUUAAGACAACUAUAUUUCUUAUUCUUCAAAUGGAGAUGCAUGAGGUUUUGUCCUACAGUCUAUUGUAUCUUGGUUUUUCCCCAAUGUUGUCCGUAACUGGCAGCUAUACAUGGUUUGACUAGAUAUUGCAUGAGGAAGAGUACUGGCCUAUGUAGUCAAAGUUUAUUUGAUCCUUCUGCCAGAAAUGGAGAAGUAGAUAUCGUAACAUCCAUGAUUACACGGUAUUGUUAAUUCUUGCAUUUAUUUGGUUCGGGUCACAAAGUUGUUUGGACUUAGAGGUUGGGCCUCUUCGUGUUUGGGCUAGCUGAAGUUGUAUGUUGGACAUAAGCCUGGUGUACGCGGGACGUAGUAAGAUCAAGGAAAACGUGGAGCCAUCCAUGUACGUGUAACAUACUAAAUGGUACGCGUAGCAUGCAUGUGCUGACUCAAAACCCUAACUUUUAGGGUUCAAGACAUAUAAAUAUGUCAUUAUGUCCCAUGCCACAGCCUCCUUAGCUCAGAAACCCUAAAAGCUAACCCUUAUCAUCAUUGUGUGUUCAUGACCUUGUGGACUUCAUUUUUGGUAGCUUGGAGCUUUGGAAAGAAGAAGAGGAAGUUAGUGAAGGAGAGUUAGUGAACCUUGAGCUUGAAGAUCCGAAACAUCAUCAUCAUUUAGCACUCAUUUGAGGUAUAAAGUUCAGAAGUUGCGUUAUGAAUGCUUAGAUCUCUUGUGUUUGAGUUUUUAGACCUUUUUGGUCCCAUUAAUGUAGCUUUAUUGAUCAAAGUCAUUUCUUAAUCUUAGGGAUACAACCCUUGGUGUUAUUUGAGUCCCUAAGUCAUAAAAUUACCAUCUUGGAGGUCUUGAAGCAUCUAUGCAUGAGUAUUUGUCAUUUCUAAGGAAGUAGGUUGUCAUAUUCCAAGUGUGGGGUUCAUUUGGGGGCAUGCAAGCCACCAAGCGGUCGACUUUAUGGGUUAAGAACCUUCAUUGGACUAAGAUAUGUGUUUGGAGCCUUAGAUCAUAAGGUUUUAAGUGCUUUUUAGGAUUUUGGCUUAAUAGGAGAGUACGAUGGGCGUACCAGCUCGUACACACAAUGUACAUGCCAUGCUGCCUAUACGCUUAACGUAUAUAUGACUACGCCCCACAUACUCACUAAGUUGGGCUUUGCGUUGUUUGGGCCUCGGUUUGGGUCACUUUUAUGGAUUAGUGACUUGGGCUGUGGUGGACCAUCUGGAACUAGACCAAUGGGCUAGCGAAACAUUAUUGUUCCUUGGGCUAAGGCCCAUGCAAAAGGAUUCGGCCCAAUUGGAAAUUGGGUCAUAUAUUGGGCUUCAUGGGAUUGUUUAUCUUUUAGGUCAUGGGUUGCGAUUUAAGGACCAAGUUAUGUUAGGGGUAAAAUAGUCUUUUACCCCAAGUAGGGAGUUUUGGUUAAUGAGGUAGAUCUCUUUGUUGAUUAGCUUGUGUCUCGAAAUUGUUAGCUCAGAGAGUUGUAGGACUAGCAGUCAGGGAUCAUUCGUUUCAGUCAGCUUAUCGAGGUGAGUUUCCUUAUUGGGUUUAGCGAUUCGAAGGCGCCAAUUCCAACCUAUGUUUAUUAUAUGUUGUUAGUAUUCUAGCUAUCUUUGUGACUCUUUCAUGGGCUUGUGUUUAUAUUUUUUUGGGCUAAGGCCCGAUGCCGGGCGGGGCCUGAUUAAUAAUUGUAUGCUAUGUAUCUCUGUGAUUAUUGCAUGUGUAUGUGUCCAUUUGAUAUAUGUUUAUUGUAUGUUUGCUAUGUGGUAUUUUAGGGGAACUCACUAAGCUUCAUGCUUAAGGAUUUUAGUUAUCUUUCGGGUACUUCUGGUAGUAAAAGGAAGAGCUCGGGAUGACUGCAUCGCACACACGAUUGAGAUUGCGCUUAUGAUGUUUUACUCUAAUUUUAUGGAAAUUGAUACAUUGGUUUUUAUUUGAAUGUUUGGAUGAUGUUGGAAAAUACUAUUUUAUCUAUUAUAAAAAAAAUGAAAUUUUUUGGACCAUAUUUUUUAGUGUUACAAGUUGGUAUCAGAGCUUUGGUUUGAGGGAUUCGGGCACACUCUCGGGUGUGUCUGAGCUCAAACUAAGGACUUCAUGGGAAUUUUCAAAAGAAAAACAUUUUUAUAAAAAGGAUUUAUAAAAGAGAAAAAAGGUGUGGUGCAUGCAAUCAACCGAGCUCAAGUAAGUUAUCCCAAAAUACCCUUACAUGUUUAUGAUAUGAUUUGAAUUGUGAAUCUGUGAAUCACUUGCUAGAUUAGGGCUAAGGAUCUAGGAAAGAUGCCUUUGUAUGCCUGCUUUUUGAACAUAUAGAUGUGCAUGCUAGUGUUGAUCAAUCAGUAAUAGGAUUGUUGGAAUAGUGCCUAAGGCUGCAACUAUAUUAGGCAAGUAUUUGACCCAGUUGUGCAUAGUCCUUUUGGGUUGCCUUCACCAUAGCAACUUGAUAGGAUGAUUUAUUAAGAGAGAGUAAAUAUUAUUAUAAAGAAUAAUAAUAUUGUUAAUAUAAGUCAUAGAAUUAAUUGGAAUUAAUUUGGUGGCUUAAAGAGAUUAAUUAAAUAAGAGGGUAUAAACUGUCAAUUGUUUGAUAGUUAAGCUUUAGACUAUAAAUCCUUAUAGAUAUAUAGUGGACGGAUUCUAGAUACUAGGAUAGCUUCAAAAUCGUCCAAGGUGUUAUCUAGGAAUGGAUUUGGAUAGGCUUAAGAGAAGAUUAUCCAAUAGGGUUUUGGUUGUAACCCUUAAGGAGUCUACAAGUAUAAAUAGACCCCUUUGUGCACUCGGCGAGUCCCUUUGUGCACUUGGCGAGUCCAAGCGUCAGGUAUGGCCAGAUUCGGGAUUUUUUCAUAAUUAUCUUAUGGAAACUUUCCUUAAACUAAUUAGAUCAACCCUAAUCCGAUUUUUUGAUAUAUAUGACUAUAAUCUUGAUCUAAUUAAAGAUAUUUAUCAUCUAAUAAAAUAUUUAAUUUCCUUAUAUGAUAAUUAAUUAAUUAUUUUGAUUAUUUUGGUAAUUAUCUUAAAAGAAAUCUUGAAUAAAUCAAAUAUAGAUAAUUAGGAUAUUAAUUGUUAAUUGGAAUUAUUUGUUAUUUGAUCCUCCAUGUUUUAAAUGUUUAAAACUUGCCCUCAAGUUUUGAAAUUUAUAUUUGUGAUUAAAAGUUUUAAUUUAGACAACUUAAAUUUCAAACCCUAGAUUUUAAAAGGUUUAAAAUACAACCCUAUACUAAUAUGAUAUUACUAGAAUAAUAUAUAUAUGUAUAACUAAAUGCUAGUCUUACCGUUAGUAGGCCUCAUUCACGAAGCCGAUCUAUAAGGUGGGUAUAAGGUUGCGGCCUAUAAAAUGGCGCUUAAUGGGUGUACACUCACACCCACCGCUUGCUUGAUUGGUGGAGGGUCGUUAGCCGAACGGGUAGGAUAGGGCAACCUCAUCCUCUCAUUAAAAGUAUAAUAAGAAAUACAAAGUAACUACACAUAUUUUAAAAUUUCCCAAUCCUAGUUACUUUAGGAAAAGUGAAUUGAUGCAAUCCCAUGAAAUUACACUUUGCACCCUUGCUAAGAAGUUAGUGGAGCGUGUGUGGUUUACCGGCACACUAAUUGGUUCUAAGCAAAGGUGGCAAAGGGUGAUUCAUUGUUUAUCAUAGUUCGAUGGAGCGUGUGUGGUUUACCGGCACAUCGAAUAGGUGAUCGUUACAAUGAAGGCACCAUGUGAAUUUGCAUGGUAAUUCACACCCGCUUUGUGAUCCUCGGUAUCCCAGUCACAAACAAGAGGGGCAUAUCGAGAUUUAAACAUGCCAUUGAAUAGUUUCAAUGAAUCUCAUCCGAACCUAGGAAUUCUCAAUACACUUAGGACUAAUAGUUUAGGUUUUGUGAUGGAGAAUCAGUGAAUCGUCAUUCACUUAACUUCAAUUUAUUGGCAUGUUAGAUUACGGCAUCCCUUUUCUAAUACGUAAAUGUUGGAUCCUAGCCCUAAUUUUUCUUAUUGGGUGAUAAUUAUGGAUUCAAAUUCUAAUCUAUCUUUGUCCUUUCUAUUUGUAGAUGUCAAACGCAAACAACGCUGCUGCUAGCUCUUUCACAUUGAUGAGCCUUUGCCAAAAGGUCACCUUCGAUGGAACGAACUUUAGCGAAUGGAUAAGAUACAUUCGCACCAUUGCUCGCUAUGAGGAUAAGGAGUAUGUCCUCGAUGAGAAGCUCGAGAAGAUCAACCCUGAAAUCGCUACUCCGGCUGAAAUUACCGCUUUUGAAACUCAUGAGCGAGAUGCAACGAAGGUACAUUGCAUCAUGAUAGCCACCAUGAACUCCGAAUUCCAAAAGUCCUACGAGGACAUGUACCCGUACGAGAUGCAUCAAGACUUAUUGGAGAGAUACCACCAAAACGCGAGACAAGAGCGUUAUGAGAUUUUCACUAACAUGAUUUCCGCUAAGAUGGGUCAUGGAGAAUCUCUUACCGUGCACCUGCAAAAGAUGCAAAGGUAUGUCGACCGCCUUCGCAAGUUAAAUGUUGACUUUGGGGAAGACUUGGCGAUCGACAUGGUGCUUCACUCUUUGCCUCCGAUGUACAACCAAUUUAGGAUGACCUACCACAUGAACAAAGAGGAGGUCACCCUAAGCAAACUCCAAGGUCUAUUGAGGGUCGCUGAGAGCAACUUCAAAGACAAGUCUGUUGCACUAACUCCCAAUCCACCCGCUGCUCCUGUCUUGGAUAUUGGUCAAGGAAAGGGAAAGAAGAGGAAGGCUUCGUCUAAGAACUAUCGCAAGGUUAAAGCCCGAGAUGGUGCCUCUUCUAGUGGGACCAAAGUUGAUCCCGCUAAGCCCUGCCCUAACCCGAAGGAGGCAGAGUGCCACCACUGCCACAAGAUAGGACAUUGGAAGAGAAGCUGCCCAGAUUACCUGCAAGCAAUCAAAGAAGGAAAGAUCAAGCCAUCUUUCGCAGGUAUAUACACAAUCAAAUCUAACGAUUCUAAUCAUGCUAUUUCUUGGGUUCUUGAUACCGGUUGUGGUUAUCACAUUUGUUCUAAUGUGCAGGGACUAAGAAGAAGUAGGGAUGUGGAGCAAGGAAGGAUCAAUCUAAUCAUGGGGAACAGAAGAUCGUCGCCUGUGACCAAGAUUGGAGUGUAUUCUUUAGUGCUUAGGAAUAGUUUAGGUUUAGAUUUGAACAAUUGUUGCUAUUCGCCAGAAAUGGCUAGAAACAUCAUUUCAUUUCAUGGUUUAUAUAGACAAGGUUUUAGAUUUUCUUUUAAUAAUGAGAAUGGUUCUAUUUUGGCUUAUCUAAAUGGUGUCUUUUACUUUGAAGCUAUACCAUGUAAUGGAAUAUAUGAAACCGUUAUGAUUGUUGAUAACUUAGGAAAUGAUGUUUUGAAUAUUGAUUCUUCCACUAGUAUGGAUAAAGCAUCCUUGUGGCAUUGUCGUCUUGGACAUGUCAACAAGAAACGCAUAGCCCAACUCCAAAAGGAUGGAGUGUUGGAGUCAUUCGACCUUAGGGAAGAUGACACAUGCGAGUCUUGUUUGCUUGGAAAGAUGACUAAGUCACCCUUCACGAGUACAUGUGAAAGGGGCGAGGGUCUAUUGGACCUAAUACAUACCGAUGUAUGUGGACCGUUUAGAUCAACCACGAAGGAUGGGAACCGCUUCUAUGUGACUUUUACCGAUGACUAUAGUAGAUAUGGGUAUAUCUACUUAAUCAAGCAAAAGUCAGACACCUUUGAAAAGUUCAAAGAGUUCAAGAAUGAAGUGGAGAAUCAAUUGGGCAGGAAAAUCAAGAUGCUUCGAUCCGAUCGAGGAGGAGAGUACCUAAGUCUUGAAUUCCACGAUUAUCUCAAGGAGUGUGGAAUAGUUUCACAAUUGACGCCUCCUAGGACACCGCAGUUGAAUGGUGUGGCAGAAAGGCGUAAUCGAACCUUAUUGGAUAUGGUUCGCUCUAUGAUGAGUCGUGCUUCACUACCUAUCUCUUUUUGGGGGUAUGCCUUAGAGACUGCCGCCCAUAUCCUUAACCGAGUCCCUACUAAGAAGGUUGCCAAAACACCUCACGAGAUGUGGACAGGGAAAGCUCCCUCGUUGGCACAUAUCAAGGUUUGGGGUUGCGAGGCUUUCGUAAGACGAGAUACUCACGACAAGCUUGAACCUCGAAGUGAGCGAUGUAUUUUCAUCGGCUACCCGCAGACAUCCUUUGGAUAUCUCUUCUAUAGACCGAAGGACAAUGUUGUCUUCGUUGCGAGGAGAGGAGUUUUCCGAGAGCGAGAACUCAUAAGCCAAGGAGACAGUGGGAGGCAAAUCGAACUUGAAGAGAUUCAAGAGUCGAUAGAUGAAGGAACCUCUACCGCUGGCACUCAACCCGAGGAGGAAACUCCGGUUGAACCGAUUGACGAAUCCUUACCUCUUAGACGUUCCGAUAGAGUUAGAGUUCUUCCCCAGUUUUAUGGUUUUCAUAUUACUACCGAAGGGGACACGUAUAUUAGUGAUGGUACACUAGUAAAUCUUGAUGAACCUAAUAGCUAUAAGGAAGCCAUGGCAGGCCCGGAGUCUGCAAAAUGGAAAGAGGCAAUGGAUAGCGAGAUCCAAUCCAUGUAUGAUAACCAAGUUUGGAAUUUGGUUGAUUAUGUGCCCGGACGUAAGACCGUUGGGUGCAAAUGGAUCUUCAAGAAGAAGACCGACGUGGAUGGAAACGUACACACAUAUAAAGCGCGAUUGGUUGCGAAGGGCUUUACUCAAACUCCCGGAGUUGACUAUGAUGAGACCUUCUCACCAGUUGCGAAGAUUAAAUCUAUUAGAGUGAUGCUAGCAAUUGCCGCAUUUCAUGAUUAUGAGAUUUGGCAAAUGGAUGUCAAGACCGCUUUCCUUAACGGAAAGUUGGCUGAGGAUGUUUACAUGGCUCAGCCAGAGGGGUUUGUGGAUCCGAAGCAUCCGGAUAGAGUGUGUAAGCUUGAGAAGUCCAUUUAUGGACUUAAGCAAGCGUCUCGCAGAUGGAAUCUUUGCUUCGAUGAGAAAGUCAAAGAGUUUGGAUUUGUACGAAGCGAAGACGAAUCUUGUGUAUAUGUCAAAGCCAGUGGGAGUAUAGUAAGCUUCCUCGUUCUAUAUGUCGAUGACAUAUUACUCAUAGGAAACGACAUCCCGACUCUGCAGGAGGUUAAGUCCUGGCUCGGGAAGUGCUUCGCUAUGAAGGACCUCGGAGAGGCUUCUUACAUUUUGGGAAUAAGGAUAGUAAGAGAAAGAAGUAAGAGACUAAUUGGACUUAGUCAGAAUACUUACUUAGAGAAGGUACUAAAACGUUUUAGUAUGGAAAACUCAAAGAAGGGAGAACUACCGAUACAAAGUAAUGCCAAAUUGAGUAAGACUCAAAGUCCGAGUACCGAAGCUGAGAUAGCAGAAAUGAGCCGAGUACCAUACGCUUCCGCAGUUGGCUCAAUCAUGUACGCUAUGACUUGUACUCGCCCUGAUGUAGCCUUCGCUUUGAGCAUGGUUAGCAGAUAUCAAGGGAAUCCUGGCAAAGCACAUUGGAUUGCGGUGAAGAAUAUCCUUAAGUACCUUCGGAGGACGAAGGAAUGGUUCUUAGUCCUCGGAGGGAGUGAUGACUUGAAGGUGCGAGGGUAUAGUGACGCCAGUUUUCAGACCGACAGGGACAACUACCGUUCGCAGUCGGGCUGGGUCUUUACCCUAAAUGGAGGAGCAGUGACAUGGAAGAGUUCCAAGCAGGAAACCGUAGCUGAUUCAACGUGCGAAUCAGAGUACAUUGCAGCGAGCGAAGCGUCGAAGGAGGCAAUAUGGCUAAAGAACUUCAUCGGUGAUCUUGGAGUUGUACCUGCCAUAAAGGAGCCCAUGGAGAUUUUCUGUGAUAACGAAGGAGCGGUUGCCUUGACCAAGGAACCGAGGGAUCAUGGUAGAUCAAGACAUAUCGACAGAAAAUAUCACUUCAUCAGACAUCGUGUAGAAGAAGGACAACUCGUAGUGAAGAGGAUAUCAUCAGAAGAUAACCCAGCAGAUCCGCUUACGAAGGGACUGAGUAGGGUUAAGCACUUGCAGCAUGCUAGGAGUAUUGGGCUGAAGGAUGAUAUUAGCAUAGAUUAGAUAGUAUUAGAAACGUGUAAUAGAUAAAUGUAAUUAACAUUUGAUGAUUAAAUAAAGGAGUUUUAUUUAUGAGUAAUGUUACUAUCUUAUGUUAAUUGUUUAGCUAUUGUUUCACUUUGCAUGUUUUGACUUCCAGAAUAAUUGAGUUUAUUAGGAAUAAUCGAAUUGUUCAAAUGGUCCACAAUCGUUCAUAUGUUGGGAGUAGAUAUGAAUGAAGAUUGUCAUGAAUUGGUGUGUAGAAUGUCUAAAUGGUGUUAGACAUAGCAAAGGAUUGCUGCAACGUUCAUGAGUGCUUAUGAACUAGUUUUGAGCAUUGGAAUAAACCCGCGCUUGCUGGAAUCACCUUAUGGAAUACGAUAUAAAAGGUGAUCGCAAGACGAUAAUAUCAUAUAGUCUUAAAACCUAGAUAUAUGGUUUAUUAUUUGUUAAUUGAUUGUACAUUGAUAAUACGAAAACGCAUCAGUAACUUGGUGUUAUAAAACGUAUUGUUGUGUAUAGUUGGUUAAUGAAUAAGUAAAUGCAUAUAAGUCGAAGUUUAUCUGUAACUUUUAUCUAAGAAGGUAAAAGCGAUAUCUCGGCCGCUCGAUGAUUUGAUUUGACUUAUGUGCCGGGCCCGGUCAGAACUGAAUUGAUGUGUUCGAUUAAGUUCUAUGUCAAAUAAAUCAGAGAUCGAGAAACCUAAAUGCUUGACUAACCAUUCCAUAGGAUUGUCAGCAUGAUAUCUAACAGAGGACUGUACGUUCCCUUAUCUAAAGGACAAGAUUGAUUAGAUCAGAGUUGACAGCGUCUUUGAGAGCUACGAUUGCAAACCGAAUUGUACUUGUAUAGUUACUAGACUUAUCCAAGUGGGAGACUGUUGGAAUAGUGUCUAAGGCUGUAACUAUAUUAGGCAAGUAUUUGAUCCGGUUGUGCAUGGUCCUUUUGGGUUGCCUUCACCAUAGCAACUUGAUAGGAUGAUUUAUUAAGAGAGAGUAAAUAUUAUUAUAAAGAAUAAUAAUAUUGUUAAUAUAAGUCAUAGAAUUAAUUGGAAUUAAUUUGGUGGCUUAAAGAGAUUAUUAAAUAAGAGGGUAUAAACUGUCAAUUGUUUGAUAGUUAAGCUUUAGACUAUAAAUCCUUAUAGAUAUAUAGUGGACGGAUUCUAGAAGCUAGGAUAGCUUCAAAAUCGUCCAAGGUGUUAUCUAGGAAUGGAUUUGGAUAGGCUUAAGAGAAGAUUAUCCAAUAGGGUUUAGGUUGUAACCCUUAAGGAGUCUACAAGUAUAAAUAGACCCCAAGGCUGAGGGAAUUCGACACUCCAUCUAGAAUAGAGAACCUCUGGCCGAAUUCCUCCCUUCUCCUCUCUCCUAAACCAUCUUCCUUGGUAUUGGUGUUUGUAAGCCAUUAGAGGAGUGACAAUUGUGACUCUAGAAGCUCCAAGACAACAAGGUCAACAAGGAAUUCAAAGGUAUGAUUCUAGAUCUGUUUCAAUAUUGUUAUUUAACCUAAUUAGUCAUUAGAAGUCUUGGAUUCAAAGCAUGUUUAAUUAGAAAGCCUAGAUCCAAGCAUUAGGGUUUUGCAUGCGCACAUAGGAAAGUUCUUAUGGCUAAAACCCAUCAAGGAUGACCCGAUUGCGUUAUGUUCUAUUUUGAUUACUUGAUGCUCAAAUGCAGCUUGUUUUGUGCUUUUAGGAGUUCUUGCUAAUUUUGGCUUGCUAGUAAGCAAAUAUGCUAUGUUACAUAUUAUGAACACUAAAUAAUUUUAGAAGGUUAAGAUUAACUCUAUUGUGCAGCUCUUGUUUGAGUCCAACCGUUGUAGUGAGAGGCCUCAUAUUUGAAGAAUUAUAUAGUUUUUGUAAUAUGUAAUUGUAUUUGUGAGCUAGUUAGAGGAGGUUAGCAUAAGUUCCUUCUACAGCUGAUGACGGAUAGUGGUGUGGAGUUUGCCCUAGGAAAAACCUACGAUGAGAUUUAGCGUUGGGAGCUUUCGCUGUGAAGGAUAUGUUAGUUAUAGAGUAAUUUGGUUGAGUUAAGGCACUCCUUGAGGAAAGUACAGAUAUAUAUAUAUAUAUAUAUAUAUAUANCUACAAUGAAGCUAGGGAGCUUGUGUGGUUGUGAUUUCCCCGAUAUACACAUUGAUGCUUAUUCUGAUAGUUUUAUGGUCUAUUUUCAGUAUGGUGGUAUUGCGAGGCAAGACAGUGGGCAGUUCCGAUGUUGGGGAGGGUUCGGGCUUAGGUUCUUGAGCAGGGAAACUUGAUGACCAUACGAGGGAUUUAAUCUCGUCUGAGAUUAUACGCAAUAUCUUUGAUCACACUCUUGUGAUCUUUGGCACGGUCAAGGAGGGUAUUCUAGAGAUUCUUGAUGAGAGAUUGAGCGCCUUUCACGCUAAGAUUGGGGAUUUGAUCAGGACGCACUCUUUGACCUUCAGGGAGUUUCAGGCGCGUGGAGCGCCAUACUAUCAUGAGGCUAGGGAACCCAUUGCGAGCAACAAGUGGUUGGCAGAUGUCGCUAAUGCAUUCCAUACCAACCGUUGUCCCGAGGGGGACGAGGUCAGGUUAGCUUCCUGCCUUCUGAAGGAUGGGUCAUGUGAUUGGUAGGAGGAGGUAGGGCAUGCUAUAGGAGAUGAUCUGGCUAUUGAUUCGAUGACCUGGAGUGAUUUCUCGACUAGGUUCCAGGCCGAGUUUGCACCGGUGAUUGAGGUGCUGCAGUUGGAGCGAGAGUUCCAAGAUCUCCGUCAUACUACUGAGACGGUGACUGAGAUCACCGCUAUGUUUAGGGAGCGGGCGCUUCUAGUUUUGCAGUAUGUGGAGGACAAGGAGAUGAAGAAGGACCAGUAUCAUGAGAUGUUGAGGAGUGAUAGUCGGCAGUUUCUUAGCCGAUCCAGCUACAAGACGUUGGAAGACAUGAUAGCGAGGGCAAGGAAGAGGGAGAUGACUUAGAGAUAGAGAGGAAGAGGAAGCUAGAUUCUGCUGCGAGUGUUGAGGGUUUUGGGCAAGAGGCCCAAGUGUUGGGAAUAAAUCCGAGAUGACGAAUGCGGAAUAUCAAGAAUAAUCACGAAUCAAUCACCAUAAUAUGCAAGUAAUAUGUCAAAGGAUUUGUGUAUAUUGAUUUUGAUAUGAACGUACAAAGAAAACCCUAAUCAGAAAAAAGCUUUCAUCAAAAGCUAACAUAAUGAUUAUUUAUAGGGAACAUAAAAUAUUUACCAAAAAUAUAAAACCAAUGCGUUAGAAGAGCUCGAUGAAGAACUUUUACUGUAAAGGCACCGUAGGGAAUCACAAAAAGAUUAACCCUAAAAAGGCUUCCUUAAAUAACUAAACAUGCCAAAUCAGUUUCAAUAUCUCAAAUACUUAACAAGCUCCCCCUAGAUGUUGAAACUGAUGAACAUCAUGAUUUCUGAUCUUCUUGGCAUUUCUCCACCUAAAUUGUGAGACUCAUCAGCACAUGGGGUCUUGAAAGCGAGAGAAACAAAUAACGUCUUCCAAACAUUGACCCCCCCCCCUUGAAUAAUCAUCACUCCCCCUUGAAUCUUCAACAAAUACCAUUGAGAGAAUCCGGAAAGUUAAGAAAAAUCACCAACAAUCUUCGCUAUCUCAUAGAGUAAGUCGUAAAACCUGCUCUGUCAUAAUGAGCGAUUUCGCCAAAAUAGAUCUUCAAAACCUGUCAGAUUUAAUGAAACAAAUCCCUUUUGAAUAUUCACAAUUCUAAAAAAAAUAAAACUGGAAAAAUAACAAAAAUUAACUUUGUAUUCUUCGACUUUUAAAUAUUGGACAAAAAGAAUGGAGUAAGAAGCAAUUAUUUAGAAGGGUUUGAAAAGAAUAAGAUCAAAGAAAGGGAUAAGAAAUGAAAAUAGUUUGGAAAGAAAGGGUAAAAAUGGUAAAACCCACAAAAUUGUAAAGGAAUUAGGAAUCUGGGGUGGAAAAUCUUAAGAUCUGAAAGACUAGGGGUUGAUUUUGACAAAAAUAAGGCAUCUUCAUGUAAAUGGAACGGAGAAUGCAUGAUCUUUGACUCCAAAAGUCAAAAUCCAGUUUAACGAGCAUAUUUGAGUCGCAGUAAGUCCCGACGAGCAACGAUCCAAACAAUUUCCGACUGAGACAUAUUCCCAGUCAUGAUUCCGAGACCAUAUCCAAUUCCGAUCAACAAAUAAAUUUUGAUUGCUUAAAUUCUGAACUCGAUUUUGAAGCUUUGAAAGUCCGAUUGCAAGUUUCAACAAAUCUGAAUUACGAUGGACUCCAAUUCCGAUUCUGAAUGAUGACUCCGAUUGGUGCUGAUUAAUAACUUUAUUCACUUGCGAGUUCGAUUUUGAGAAUGAAUUUUCCGAUUCCCAUGCUAGGAAUGAUUUGGACGAGAGCAGUUUCGGAUGUCAAAUAUUGGUUCUAAAACCCGAUUCCAGAACUCUGAUCCCUGUGAAUGAUUUCCGAGUUCGUGACAUUCAAUGCCAAUUCCCAACGUAUACAGAUGAAAUUCGAUUUCUGAUUUCGUAUACCAACACAUCUUUAGAGCUCCGAAGGAUUGCAACCUCCGAGCCUAGAAUACCGAACGCAGAACUCCAAAUGACUCCGAGCGUUCGGAGAUGAACAGUGAACUCCGAGUUCUUAUGCGAGUCCGAUUGUGAAUUGUUCCGAAUGCUCGGAGUUUGAAUCAUUUUCCGAUUUCAGCUUUGACGAUUCGCAGGUAUGAACGAAUGAUUUAUUAAGUUUCCGAAAACUAACCUUAACUUUCAUUGAAUUGGCAGACUAUACCCAUGACUCCGAAACAAAUCAAUUGUGUGUAUAACUCCGAAAGUAACCCUUAAAGAUUGAUCAAAAUGGCAGAUUUCCCCCAAAUUACGAAAGCAACCUCUUUUUGUUAAUAACUCCGAAUCUAGCCCCAAUUUUUCCAUAAUCCCGAAUCUGACCCUCCUGUUACAGUGAACUGACAACUUGCACCCCUUUUGCUGAAAUGUGUCAUAUGGCAGCCCUCUUUUUACAGAAAAUGUCCUUUUUCACCCACUUUUCACCUUUUUGUCAUACCAACCAUUAAAAAUCAAUAAAAAUGGAUUUCUUCAACACAAUUUCACAUCUUUGAUUGAAUUUUCACCUGAUUUUGUCCCCUUUUUUGAUUUUUUUUGUUUUUUAAGACAAAAUUUUUAUGAGACUUUUGGUACCCAUUUAAGAUUCAAGAUUGAGGUUGGUUUCUUGCACAUCCAUUUAUUUGAAAAAAAAUCGAUCAUCUUCCGAAAAUAAUACCAGCUUUUUAGUUGGAAAACAAAAUUUUCCAAAAGUUUCAUUAAACCAACCAAAUAAUCUUUUCUCUUUUCUCCAACUUCUAACAUAUUUAUCUGAAGAAAAAUUAAAUUUUCUUUGAACAUUCUUGACUUUAGCUUUUUGAACCUUCGUACUUGUACGUUGGGCAUCCAAACCUUGUUCAUUUUACUCUUCUUCUUCUUCUUCUUCUUCUUUCUUUUCUUAUUUCUAGGCUUCAUAAACGAAUUUCGGAUCUAAACAACCUCUUCACCAUUCUGAGUCUGAACAUUUAAAGACUUUUGAACACAAUCCUUAGGAGUUAGGUAAAUAUGAACAUCUUGAAUUAUUGGCUUUCUAUAUGGAACCAAUCCUUCAAAAACAUCAUCAGAACUAAAAGAAUCAUCUGUUUGAGUUCCAAUAGAACAAAAUUUCUUUACUUUCACGAUUUCAGAAAAUUUGCUUUGAGAUUCAUCUUCAGAACAACUACAUGCAGAUGGUGAUACUUCUAUAAAACUUGAAACUUUAGACUCCCCCGCAACACGAAGAUAUGGAGUCACUUUUUCUUCAGAAACAUGACGAACAUUAUGAACAUCACCAAGAACACCAAGAACAUCUUCCUUUUUCUUUUCAACUCUUUUCAUCUCCAAAAUCUGUUGUUUAUUUUCCCGAUCUAAAUAUCUAUGGAUAAUAUGAAAUUGUUUUACUAUUCUCUUAUUCUUUUUUAACUCACCGUCAUUAACACAUGAGAAUUCAGAUAUUUUCUUAUCAACAAUAAGAUUAUACAACUCAGUAACAUCCCUCAACGUUAAUUGACAAAGAAUAUGAAACAUAGUCACUCUGUUAACACCAUAGAUUGGUUUAGUAACCUUUAAUCCAAGUUCUAAAAUGGAGUCAAACAAUAAAUUCAUUUCAUCAAUUAGAUCUUCAACAAGUGACCUAACUUGAAGAGAGGGAAAGUAGAUCUGAUAAGAAUUCUAGAGAGAGAAAAUGGAUCUGAGAUGGUUUCUAGAGAGAUAAAGUAGAUCUGAACACAAACAUGCGAAUAAAUACGAAAUUUCUCUUCUAUUUUACUUCCAAAACACGAAUCAAGAACAAAUUAAGUAAAAUACCAGAUCCGGGAUGGUUUUUGCAAUAAAACGAGGUAUUAAACUUUUUCUUUUCAGAAAACUUACAAAACUUGAAGAACAAGGUGAGAUUCACGAAAAAAAAAAAGUCGCCAUGAACAAGAUCGAUUCUAGCAAUAAUCGCUGAGAUCUACAAGAACCCGCUCUGAUACCACUUGUUGGGAAUAAAUCCGAGAUGGCGAUUACAGAAUAUCAAGAACAAUCACGAAUCAAUCACCAUAAUAUGCAAGUAAUUUGUCAAAGGUUUUGUGUGUAUUGAUUUUGAUAUGAACGUACAAAGAAAACACUAAUCAGGAAAAAGCUUCCAUCAAAAGCUAACCUAAUGUUUAUUUAUAGGGAACAUAAAAUAUUUACCAAAAAUAUAAAACCAAUGCCUUAGAAAAGCUAGAUGAAGAACUUCUACUGUAAUGGCACCGUAGGGAAUCAUAAAAAGAUUAACCCUACAAAAGGCUUCUCUAAAUAACCAAACAUGCCAAAUCAGUUUCAAUAUCCCAAAUACUUAACACCAAUGUAUCUGAUUCUAGACCGAGAGGCCAGUAUGGUCGUAGCCGCUGUGGCAAGUGCGGCAAGACACACAAGGGGAUGUGGUAGAGGGGUGAGUUUUGGCUGCUUCAAGUGCGGCCGGACUGGUCAUAUUAGCAGAGAUUGUAUUGCUACUGCCCCAUCACUCUAGUAUACGAUUUGAUUUGCAUUUAGUGCAAUCAUAGGGGCCACGAGAAAGCCCAUUGUCAGAGUUUGGCUGCGGUAGGACCGGUGUCAGUACCUGCUCCUACGACAUUGAGGAUUACUGACGGCCGUCAGGGUCGAGCAGAUGCGUCAGCGGAAAAGAACAAGGUUUACCAGGUGACGGUGGAGGAGGCGCAUGCAGCUCCUGAUGUUGUGACAACUAUGUAUCUUCUCCUUAUAUUUUUAUCUAUAUUAGAUUGUUUCUUAUGUUUAUGUGUUUUAUUUUAUGAUCGUUCCUCGUGAAUAGUAUCUCUGCCUUGGUAUUAUUUGAUUCGGGGGCUACCCGAUCUUUUGUAUCUCUUGCGCUUAGCAAGAGAUUUGUUGGAGCUCCAAGGGAGCUGGAUUGUCCUUUAUAUGCCAAGAUUGAUGAUGAUAGUUCGAUUCGAGUUGAGAGGGUUCAUCUAGGGUGUACCCUUCAUUUAUUCAGCGAGUAGUAUCCGGUGGAUCUAGUUCCUAUUCCUUUGCGUGGGAACAAGAUUAUCAUGGGCAUGGAUUGGUUGAGUCCUAAUGGGGAAGUGAUCGACUGUGAGCAGCAGGUGGUUUGGGUUCAUACCCCAGGUUGGGGAGACUUGGUGAUUUAGGGUGAAACACCAUAGUAUGGGCCGGAUAUGUAUUCUGCAGCAAGGGUCUGAUGCUACCUUCAGCAGGGUUGUGCGGGUUUUGUCGCCUAUGUCAUGGAAACCCGAGAUAAGGGUAAUGCGACUGUGGAUGAUGUGUUGAUUGUGCGAGAGUAUCCGGAUGUGUUCCCGGAGGAUUUGCCUAGGGUACAUCCGGAGAGAUAGGUAGAGUUCAAGAUUGAAUUUGUUCCAGGUGCGGCUCUGAUAGCCGAAGCACCGUAUCGGUUGGCUCCUCUUGAGAUGCAAGAGUUGUCUACAUAGCUAUAAGAGCUUUUAGACAAGGGAUUUACCAGGCUGAGCAGUUUGCCUUGGGAAGCCCCGAUUCUGUUUGUGAGGAAGAAGGAUGGAUCUAAUCGGAUGUUUAUCGACUAUCCGGAGUUGAAUAAGGUAACUGUGAAGAACCAUUACCCCCUCCCAAGGAUUGAUGAUCUUUUCGACCAACCUCAUGGUGCAUCUUGGUUCUCAAAGAUUUAUGUGCGAUUGGGUUAUCAUCAAAUGCAAGUCAGGGAUGAGGAUGUGUAGAAGACAGCUUUCCGAAGUCGCUGUGGCCAUUAUGAGUUCGUGGUGAUGCCAUUUGGGCUCACUAAUGCUCCUGCCGUAUUCACGGAUCUCAUGAACUAUGUGUACAGACCGAUGUUAGCUCUGUUCGUGACAGUCUUUAUUGAUGAUAGAUUGGUCUAUUCCAAGACGCAAGAACAGCACGAGGAGAACUUAAGGGAGGUGCUUGAGACAUUGAGGAGGGAGAGACUUUUUGCAAAGUUCUCCAAGUGAGUUCUGGUUGUGUGAGGUGCAGUUCUUGGGGCACCUCAUCAAUCAGAAGGGUAUUCUAGUCGAUCCUUCCAAGGUCGAGGAUGUGAUGCCGUGGGAGGUUCCAAGGUCUCCAUCUGAGAUUCAAAGUUUCGUGGUUUGGCUGGUUAUUAUUGAAGAUUUCUCCAAGAUUUUUAUUUCAUUACCCCGACUGACCAAGAAGUCGAUGACGUUUCGCUAGGGGCCUGAGCAACAGGCAUCCUUCAAGACUCUUAGAAAAUGUUUGUGUGAGGCGCCGAUUCUGACCUUGCCAGAGGGUUUCGAUGAUUUUGUGGUUUAUUGUGCUGCCUCGAUCAGGAGUUUAGGAGCAGUGUUAAUGCAGCAGAGUCGUGUGAUCGCUUACGCUUCGAGGCAUUUGAAGCCUCAUGAGGCAAAUUAUCCAACUCAUGAUUUGGAGCUGGGGGUUGUGGUUUUGGCCCUCUAGAUUUGGUGGCAUUACCUCUAUGGGGUUCGUUGUACUAUUUACACGAACCACAAGAGCCUGAGGUAUUUGAUGGAUCAACCGAACCUGAAUACGAGACAACGUCGUUGGUUGGAUGUGGUGAAGGAUUAUGAUUGCAAGAUCCUUUAUCACCUGGGGAAGGCCAAUGUGGUGGCCGAUGAUCUCAGCCGCAAGGCACCCGUGGCUCCGAUUCAUGGUAUAUGCUAGAGGAUGAUAGUGAUUACUCCAUUCAUGGAACAGAUUCGGGAAGCAUAGGUUGAGGCUAUGAAGGAAGAGCGUCGGAAGUGUGAGCGGAUUGUUGGUCAAGUGGCUUCCUUCGAUUAUGAUAGUUGUGGAUUGUUGACUUUGCAUCGGAGGGUCUGGGUUCCGUAUUGGGGCGAGGUGUGCCAUGUUCUGAUGGAUGAGGCUCACAAUUCGAGAUUCUCCAUUCAUCCCGGGAUGACGAAGAUGUAUAAGGAUCUUCGCCCUGGUUAUUGGUGUCCCUGCAUGAAGCGGGAUAUAGCAUGGUUUGUGGAGCAGUGCUUGACUUGCAGGAAAGUCAAGGUCGAGCAUCAGCGACCUCAUGGCAAUAUGCAGCCAUUGGAGAUUCCCAUAUGGAAAUGGGAAGACAUCACAAUAUAUUUUAACACGAAGCUUCAAAGGACUACGCGCGGAGUGGAUUCUAUUUGGUUCAUCAUGGACCGAUUGACCAAGAGUGUGCACUUCAUUCCAAUCCAGGAGAGUAUUUCUGCAAAGAAGUUACCCGAGAUUCAUGUUCUUGAGGUGGUGGCACAUCAUAGGGUGUCGGUGUUGGUGGUUUCAAACUGGGAUGUCCGUUUUACUUCUAGGUUUUGGAAGCGGUUUCAUGACGAGAUGGGUACUCGUCUCCAUUUCAGUACGACUUUUCAUCCGCAUACCGACAAGCACAGUGAGCGGACGAUUCAGACUCUUGAGGAUAUGCUAUGUGUGUAUUGGAUUUUGGUGGGAGUUGGGAUACGUAUCUUCCGUUAGUGGUAUUUUCGCAUAACAACAGUUAUCACACUAGCAUUGAUUAACCUCCUUUUGAGAUGCUCUACAGGAGGAAAUGCAGGACCUAGAUUUGUUGGGGUGAUGUUGUUCGGCGAGUCAUGGGGAUUACCGAGGUAGUACUUAAGACUACUGAGCUGAUUCAGCAUGUUCAGAGCAGGCUCCAGAUAGAUCAGAGUUGGCAGAAGAGCUACACCGACAAGCGUCGGUCAGAUUUAGAGUUCCAGGUAGGAGAUAGGGUUCUCCUGAAGGUGUCACCUUGAAAGGUGUCAUCCAGUUCAGGAAGCGGGGCAAGCUGGGCCCCAGGUAUAUCAGUCCCCUCAGGGUUUUGGCUCGGGUGGGCCAGGUUGCGUAUCGUCUAGAUCUUCCAACUGAGCUCAGUUAGAUUCAUAACACAUUUCAUGUCUCCCGAUUGCGGCAGUGUUUAUUGGAUGACUCUGCAGUGGUACCCUUAUAGAUUAUUCGAGUGGAUGACUACUUGAAUUAUGUUGAGGGACUAGUGGUAAUAAUAGAUCAGAAGACAAAAACCUUUAGGAACAAUGUUGUAGAGAUAGUGAAGAUGUAGUGGUUACACCGCAAGGGGUCAUAGUGGACUUGGGAGCCCAAGGAGGAGAUGAAAGAGCAUUUUCCAAAUUCGUUCAGCGCAGCGGACUUCAAGGACGAACUCUGAUUCAAGUGGGGGAGAAUUGUAAUAUCCAUGAUUCCAAGGUAUUGCUAAUUUGGGCCUCUUCGUUUUUGGGCUACCUAAAGUCGUACACUGGGUGUAAGCUGGGCAUACGUGGGGCAUAGUAAGAUCAUGGAAAACACAGAGCCAUGCACGUAUGCGCAACAUACUAAGUGGUACGUGAAGUGUACGUUUUCUGACUUAAAACCCUAAUUUUUAGGGUUCAAGCCAUAUAAAUAUGUCAUUAUGUCCCAUUCCCUAGCCUCCUUAGCUCAGAAACCCUAAAAUCUAACCCUUAUAAUCCUUGUGUGUUCUUGACCUUGUGGAGUUCAUUUUUGGCAGCUUGGAGCUUUGGAAAGAAGAAGAGGAAGUUAGUGAAGGAGAGUUAGUGAACCUUGAGCUUGAAAAUCCGAAACAUCAUCAUCAUUUAACACUUAUUUGAGGUAUAAACUUCUGAACUUGCCUUAUGAAUGCUUAGAUCUCUUGUAUUUGUGUUUUUGGACCAUUUUGGUCCCAUGGAUGUAGCUUUAUUGAUCAAAGUCGUUUCUUAAUCUUAGGGCUACCACCCUUCAUGUUAUUUGAGUCCCUAAGUCAUAAAGUUGCCAUCUUGGAGGUCUUAAAGCAUCCAUGCAUGAGUAUUGGUCAUUUCUAAGGAAGUAGGUUGUCAUAUUCCAAGUUUGGGUUCAUUUGGGGGCAUGCAAGCCACCAAGUGGUCAACUUUAUGGGUUAAGACCCUUCAUUGGAUUCAGAUAUGUGUUUGGAGCCUCAUAUUUUAAGGAUUUAAGUGCUUUUUGGGAUUUUGGCUUAAUAGGAGAGUACGAUGAGCAUACAAGCUCGUACGCACAGCGUGCAUGCCAUGCAGCCUGUACGCUUAAUGUACAGAUGAGUACGCCCCACAUACUCACUGAGUUGGGCUUUAGGUUGUUUGGGCCUCGGUUUGGGUUACUUUCACAGAUUAGUGACUUGGGCCAUGGUGGACCAUCUGGAACUGGACCAAUGGGCCAGAGAAACAUUAUUAGGCCUUUGGCUAAGGCCCAUGCGAAAGGAUUGGGCCCAAUUGGAAAUUGAUAUGUAUAUUGGACUUCAUGGGAUUUCUUAUCUUUUGGGCCAUGGGUUGUGAUUUAAGGACCAAGUUAUGUUAUGGGUAAAAUAAUCUUUUACCCUACGUAGGGAUUUUUGGUUAAUGAGGUAGAUCUCUUUGUUUAUUAGCUUUUAUUUGGAAAUUGUUAGCUUAGAGAGUUGUAGGACUAGCAGUCAAGGAUCAUUUCUUUCAGUCAGCUUAUCAAGGUGAGUUUCCUUAUUCGGUUUAGCGGGUCGAAGGCACCAAUGUCGGCCCAUGUUUAUCAUAUGUUGUUAGUAUGCUAGCUGUCUUUCUGCAUCUUACAUGGGCUUGUGUUUAUAUGUUUUCUAAGAUAAGGCCCGAUGUCGAGCGGGGCCUUAUGAAUAAUUGUAUACUAUGUAUCUCUGUGAUUAUUGCAUGUGUAUGUGUUUAUUUGAUAUAUGUUAUUGUAUGUUGGGUGAGGCCCAUUUUCCGAGCUCAGCUCGAUGUCAGAUGGGGCGAUGACAGGGCAAGGCGCACUAUAUGUUUAUUGUAUGUUGGCUGUGACAUCCCCAUUUUCACGGUCAGAAAAGUCUGAUUUUGUUUAUGCUUUGUUUGAAAAAUUAGAGUAACAUUUUAAAUAAAAGUGUUGCGGAAUUUGUCCCAAAACAAAAUAUGACAAAGAUUUAUCAAAAGCAUUUCCAUAGAAACGUAUUUCAUUAAAAAAGACUCUGGAUGUCAUGUUCGAUAUAGAUCAUAAGCAUAAACAAUACAAGAUAGGCCUUACUACAUUAUUCUGUAUUUACAGGCCUAAAAUCCCUUAAUCUCUCAUCCCAAGACAUCACAUCUAUGCUCAUGCGCCACUACCUGUAAUACAAGAAACUGAGUGGGUCAGGCUUGGGAGCCUGGUGAGCACCUAUGGUUUUCAACCCACAAUAAUUAAGUUUACUAACUUUAUCAAAACAAACAAACCCGAUUACCCGUUCCCGUUAUCCUCACUUUACGUCCCUAAAACAUCUAACAUAAGGGACCUAGUCUACAGACUUUCAUCGGGAUGGACACUACUGCUAAGGAGAUUCCUCAGCAAUAAAUGUCCUUAAGGCAACCAUGUGGGGGAUGGAGUACACCUGGUGAGCACACAGUUCAAAUAAACACCUACAAGUUGCGAUCCUGCUAGCAUUCCAUUGGACUGUCUAAAAUAGUUCGUGGUCGUCAUCUAUACUCCACUAGAUGACUGGAUCAUCAAGAACAUCUAUAACGAGGCCUCUUAUUAUUUUAUUCUGUCACACUACAACUAUUACAUCUACCAAUAUUUUACCCAACACAUUUUGUAUAUAUAAAAUACACAUACAGUUUAAAUCAUUUAAAACUUGUAUAAAAUCGUUCAUCCAGCAUAGAUAGCAAGUAUACAGAUAAUAUGCACACACAACACGUAAUUUAUAUAAAAUACUUUAUAUCUAUGUGUAAGCUAAAAGUAACUAUGCACUCACUUGAAAGGUGGUGACUUUGCACUUGAACAACGCUUUGUUAUCUCAAAACAAUUUUCCCUCGACAAAACCUAGUAUCAUUACCACUAGGUUUUAGUCUAACGAUAACCGCGACUAAUUAAUAGUCUGGCUAUUAUUACUAUUAUAUAAGCGCGACACAAUACUUUUCACCCACUAUAUACAGACGAGGCCAGACAUGAAACACCAGAGGGAAGGGUCAUAUCAGCAUAAAAGCACUUCUGAAUCCAACAUCCCAAGCGGCCCUCCAAACCGGAACCCCCGUACCGCGAGUGGUGAAAAAGAUAUUAUAAAGGCAUUAUAUAACCCAUAAUAAUAGUCCAAAUAAUUAUUCUAAGGUCCUAAUAACAUUACGAUAAUUAUUUAAAAGAUAUAUUAAAAGUUGUGUAGCUGUAGCUCACUUACAGCGUGUUUUAAAGAAAACUGGGAUUUGCUCGGAGCAGCGUUUCGAAACCGAAAGACCCUUUUUCUCGGGACUCCUGGAGCCUCGGGGCUUCCUUCGGGUGCUAGGGGUUCACCUAGACUUUAGGAAGGGUUAAAACCCUUAGAGAGAGAAAUUAUUUUAGAGAGAGAAAGAGAAUGGUGUGAUAUUUUCGGAAGCUCUAUUUAUAGGAGUCAGCAGCCUCGGGUACGCUGGAUGUCCAGCAGUCUAAGUUGGGCGUAGGCUUCGGAUAAGGGUGCCAGGCGGAUCCAGUUGGCUCGCACUCGGACUCGGACGGAUAAGGCCGAAGGUACGCUAGGCGUACCAUCCUCGGACGAGGGGCGUAAUAGCGAGGGCUACGUGGCGUGAUCCGAAGCGACUCCUGAACCAACAUCGGACGGCCCAAAUGUUGCCACGUCAACAAGUUCUUAUUAGACUUCGCAAUUUCGACUACAAACUUUAAAAAUUCGUAUCUUUCGCAUACGAGCUCCACUUUUGAUGUUCUUUAUAUCCACACGAAGGUGGGAAUGUACUCUACAACUUUCGUUUAGACUCCGUCGGCUAAUUUUGAAUUUAUUUUAAAUCUUAUAUUUCUAACAGGCCGGGACAAAAUUGGUCCGUUAAAAAUCCAUAACUUCUUCAUCCGACGUUCUUUUUCGUUCAUCUUUUUAUCGUUAUGCUACUAUUAACGAGAUCUUCGAUUCUCGUUUAGGUUGUGUCGGCUAAAAACCGCUUGAUCUAAUAUUCGAAUUUCGGGUUGUACAUUGUUAAGCCGAAUCUUCGAAAAAUCAUAACUUCCUCAUACGCUAUCAGAUUUGGGCGUUCUUUUUAUGGAUGCUCUCAGUUUAACGUAUACUGCAACUUUGGUUUAGAUCACUAAGGCUAAAAAGUCAUCCAUCGUAUAUUCACUAUUUACGUCUCCCGGUAUCGUACCGGUUUCAUCGCGAAACUUCAACAGGUCAUAACUUCUUCGUUAUAACUCGGAUUUCGGCGUUCUUUAUAUCUCUGGAAUCCUUGUUUCAACCACUACAACUUUAUGUAAAGAUAUCGGGUUUAUGCCACUCUUUAAUUUUGACGCUUAUUUUCAUCCCUUAUUUAUUAUACUUUAUAAUUAAGUUAUAAGCACACAAAUACACAUAAUUCACAUAGUAUUCAAAUAUUUCAUCUUUAUUACUUCAAAAGAGUUACAAUAGUUGACUUAGACUAUUACAUCAUCUAAAAAAUGCUUAGCCUCGAAACACAGACGUUACAUUUGCUAUGUUGUAUUUUGGGGGAACUUACUAAGCUUCGUGCUUACGCAUUUUAAUUUAUGUUUCAGGUACUUCUGAUAGUAAACGGAAGAGCUCUGGAUGACUGCAUCGCACACACCAUUGGCAUUCCGCUUAUGAUGUUUUGCUCUGAUUUUAUGGCAAUUGAUACAUUGGUUUUUAUUUGAAUGUUUGGAUGAUGUUGGAAAUACUAUUUUAUCUAUUAUAAAAAUGAAAAUUUUAGGACCAUAUUUUUGAAUGUUACAGAUAUCUCUAGGCCCCUCAAAGAGUUGGUGCUGACAUCUAAAGUACUGGGCCAAGUCCUGACUGAAAUUGGUGCGUUCAAUUUAGUAGUUAGAAGUAAUUGUCACAAAUCUAUUUCAGGAAACAUAAUCUUGAUUUAUUAGAUUGACUAUUAUCCAAGUCUCGAAUUCAUACAUAUAUCAUGAAGAUUAAAGGAAUUUGAAGUCACUACUCUUAGGUCUGUUUAUAGCAAACUUGCUAUAAGUACAGUAGUUGCAUUGGAUUGUCACCCACUGUUAUUUCUAGUAUGUAUUGGCCAAGUCGGUUGUCAAUGCCUAUGUGCAAGUGGGAACUAAUGAAGAAUAGUGUCCAUAGCCAUAAUAGGCGCGAUAAUAUUACUAUAAAUAGUAGUGUCCUUUUGGGUUACAUGUAAGAACAAAAUAAAGCAGAACUGAAAAGACACAUAUUUUAGGGACUUGUUUUGUUAAUUGAUUAAUUAGAAAACAUGGAGAAUAUGGAAUAUUAUAGAAUGGUUUGAUUCUUGGAUAAUUAUCAAAAACCUACAUAAUAACUAAUAUAUUUGGUAAUUACCUUUAAGGUUUCAAACCACCUCCCUAUAAAUAAAGCGCUCAAAUCAAGGUUUUGGACGGAUUAAAACUUAGCCUUCUUACUCCAAAAGUCAGAACCCUUAGGAAAAUCCUAGAAAACCGAACGGCUCGAUGUCACGAUGUGAAACCUCUUCUAUGGUAUUGUGGCAAUGAAUAUUGUCAUCAAUUUGAGCUUUUAUCGCGUUACUUCAUGGUUGGGUGUUUAGAUCUGUUGGGAGUUUUGCGUCUUGGAUGUGAUUACAAGAGAGGAACUCUACUUUGGGUUCUCUAGUCCAAUCAAAUGGAUUGUCAAAAGAAGAAUUUUACGACGAAGUCAAAGGUAUGUUUUCAUUCUAUUAAGUUCUAAAUAAGUUGCGUGGAUUAAUUAAGUUUAGAUCCAAUUGUUUUGAGUGUUAGAUCAAACUUGUUUAUUGUUCUGUUGCCUUAUGUUUGAUCUAAUGAGGCUCGAAAACCAUCAGUUUGCUGAUCAUAAACUGAUGGAGAAGUUAUUAGUGAUGUGAUAAGCACAUGUUGAGAUGGAGUAGAUGUUGGUGGGUGGAAAAAAUAAUGAUCCUGGUGGGCUGGUGAUGAGGAAGGGUGUUGAAUCUGAGAGAUGGUCUCUGUAGGAGGCCUUUGGCAUGUUGAAUUGGAGCACCUGGUGCAUGGACUUGGUGGCAGCCAUAGCCCAUGCGACUAGAGUUGAAGGUCGAAGGUUGUUGCCCUUGGUUGGAGCCCAUGUAAUCUUCUCAUUCAUUAAAUGGCAUAUUAUUUUCCCAUGAAUAUUCUCAUUCAUUAAAUGGUAUAUAAAUAAUACAAAAACAAAUACAAAUGGCUGAUACAUACAUGGUCCAAACAAGAUUACAUGGGCUAUACUAAAUCAUACAUAAAAAGCUAUAAUACAUAGUCUAACAUUAAUAUACUAGAAUAUGUCAAAGUUGAGUAAUAGGUAGUCCCCUUUUUCCGUGAUAAUUGGAAAGGACUCAAUUCCUUCUUUCUUCCCCGGCAAAAAUGUAGCAAGAAUGGUAAAAUAUUUGAAAUAUAAAUGAUAGAUAUACAUUUUUAAUGGGAAAUACUAUUGGUGCUUAACUAGUGGCUAUAUAAAAUAAGACUAAUAUGAUGAGAAGGUGAAUCUUAGACCGACAUUCUGCUAGUGUGAUGUAAUUGUAGGUGUGACUUAUUGGUGUCCUUGUUGAUAGAUUGUCUAAGUGUUAAACGUUCACAACUAUCCAAGAUUUUAUAGGAUGCAAUCUAAAGUACUUUGGCAAGUUUUAUCUAAACUUAUAAAAACUGGUGUAUAUCGACAUACGUUUAUAUACAUAUCUAAUGCAUUGAUGAAUGUAAAAAAAAAAAGUUGGUCGUGUCCACCAAUCCCAAAGUCUAAAUGGGAGGUGAAUCACAAAACACUAGGAAUAUUUUAGUUGUGUCAGGAUCUGACAUUACGACCUACCUGUGGAAUUCAACAUCUCAACUGCGAGGUUGUUAUCAUGGGGACAUGUCCUGAUGAUUUUAUUUAUCUUGUCGUUAAGAACAGCUUAUAUUUUAUAACAUAUUAGAUGAAUUAUUAAAAUGUUAGUAUUUUAUUUAUCUUGUGCAUGUGUGUUUGUGUUCUAUCUGUUAACACACAUGCAUAAGAAUAGAUGAAUUGUGGUGCGAUCAAUGAGGUAUAUGAUAGAUUUUGGGCAUCAAAUAUCAAUGUAAUUACUUCGAUAAAUCAAGGAUCGUGUAUGAGAAAUAUUUUCCAAAAUUUAUGAUUUCGAUCUUAUAGCCUGAGGCAUCAUGAAAUGUGAUUUGGGAUAUCCAAGAGAAUCGAUUUGGAGUUGCAGGCCUAUUCCAAAUCGUAAAACAAUUAAUUGCUUUGCUUUUCUUUGAGAUGUGUUUGUCAGAGACAAUUUUGCAAAGAGAAGAAAACAGUUUUAGUGAUGUUCUAAGUAUCCUGUAACGUCAAAUUUUCCAAUAUAUACGGAGAAGAUGAUGGUUAUGUAGACUUUAACAUAUAUAGAGACAUAAAGGACCGUGUCACACUAAUAUAAGAUACACUCACCCCCCCCCCCCUCUCCACAGAUGGGGGACGAUGGUUAGAUGAUGUCAGACAAAGAUGUGUUAUGCCACAAAGGUGUUGAUGUUGACUCUGAUAUCAAGUAAGAUAUAUGUGUAAUGUAACCUUGUGUCUCCGAAAAAGCUCUUAAGGAGAAAGAUGAGACUCCAAUAUAUAAAGAGAUAUAAACAAUAGUGUUGCACCAAUAUAAGAUACACUAACAAACGUAUAUGUUUGUUUGUGAUGUACAUUUUAAAUGGCAUAGAGGAAAGCCUUAGCAUAUAUUAUGGGUUAUUCCUUGUAGGGAAACAUGUCCUUCAAUUAUAAUUAUAAAGAGGGGCAUACAUUAGUAGAGCCCGGGGACACCUGAGCCACUGCUCCGAUUCCGGCAAUUAGUGUAAUUUUUUUAUAUGUAGUGCAAUGUUUUGAAAUAUAAGUGUCACGAUUGAUUUAGAUUUAUUCAGAAUUUUUUUUAAAUGUCACUAAACUUUAUGCAUCUGCCACUAAUUAUGAGCUUUGUUGUUAUUUUACAAGCUAAAAUGAUAAUUGUCCCAAAGGUGUUAGUUAUUGUCUGCAUUUAAACCUAGCAUCAGUUUUAUGAUCAGUUGACUAGUCGGUUUUUAUAAAAAAAAAAUGUGCAAGUGUUGAAAGAAAUAGAAGAAAAGAGGUGAUGGCGUAAAAUGCUUUACAUUGAUUUGAAAGUAAUGUCGAGGUGUCACGCAUAGAUUGGAAUAAUAGGAGAAAGAAAAAGUUAAUGACUAUUUUAAUAUAAUAAUCUAUAUAAACUGAGUGUGAGAUUGUAAAUAUAUUAUGUUUCACAAAGCUAUAGUCCAAUAAUUCCUAUAAUUAACUCGAGUACAAAUCAUUAGUUAGUCUUGGAGAUAGAGACGUCAUAAUUGACAGUUCAUCUACUAAUAAAUCAUAUAUUCUUAUGAUUUUCAUUUAAAAGAUGGACAUGUAAUGAUCUUCGUAAAUUUGUAAAAUCUGAUUAUCGUAAUUGUUGGAUAAUUUAGAUUGGAAAUAAGUUCGUUUUAUGUUAGUUCAUAAAAAUAAUUGUAUCAAUAGUUGUGUAUUGGCAGGAAGAACCUUUUAGAUUUUUUUUUCUUUAUAUGAACUUGAUUGCCGUCGUUAAUGGUUAAAUCUCGGCAGGUUUGGUCGGAAAAGAAAGUAACACCGAUCAACGGCAGUUAUCGUUCUGUUUUGUUGGGCUGCUGUGAUCUAUGGUGUUUGGCCAGAGCUCAUUGGACUUUUAUAAAGGAAAAAUAUGGCAGAUCUCAACAAAAGGGUAUUUAAAGCCUUAAGGGGCAUGGCCAAAACCUAAAGCCUAAAGCCCACUCAUUAUAACUUUAAAAUUUAGCUAUUUGUUUAAUUAGAAAUUUUGGCUAAAAAUAUAUAAGUUUAUUAGACAUUUUAUCAAGCAAGUCUGCCUUAUUAAACACUAGUUGUGAGACCCGUAUAUUAUACGGGUUGAUUAAAAUAAAAUGUUAAGUACGAAUGAUUAAAUAGAAAUUUUAUUUGAAUUUGAAAAUGAAAUAAGUGAAAAUUAUGAGAAAAAAACAUGCAAAAAAUAAAUAAAUAAAAAUUAUGUAUUUAUUGUGUAGUACACAGAUUAAUUAUAACAAAAUGUUAAAUAUAAAGGUUUAAACCGUAAAUUUAUUUGAAAUUUAAAAUUUAAAAUUAAUGGUAGGUUUAAUUUAUAGAAACCAAAUUAAUGAUAUAUUGAAAAUGAAAAUUAAAGUAAUGAAAAGUGAAAAAUAAAUAUAUCUCAAAUUAUGACAAAAUGACAUGUGGCUAAUAAAUUAUGAGGGAAUGACAUGUGGCAAAGUCAUUUUUAUUUAUUAGGAUAGAUUUUAUCACCAAACAACAAAGAAUUUUGAUCCAAAUAUGCCAACAAACAUUAUAGUAAAUCCCUUGAAAAUGAUAUUCUACUUUUCUCUACGACCAGAGCUCGUCAAACCAAAUAAACCAUUCAUGAAAUGGGAAAAACAUAAGUGUAGGCAACCCCCACCAUCUAAUGACUGCAAACAACAAAUCAAUCGCCACAAAGCAAGAGAAGAACAAAUAGGAAGUCGAUUCCACUCUAGAGUCGCACAACUAGCACAAGAGAGAUAUGACAUCAACACCUCCACGGUUCAGAUUACUCCUCGUUGGGAGUUUAACUAGAACCAAUGAAGGCCAUCUAGUCGGCCCAAAGGUCGAGCCUAGAAACAAUAAAAUCUCCAGAACCAUAUAAAAACCAACACCAAUGAUCUAUUAUCCAGGACUAAGAGAGUGUGUUCAACAUGUCUUCGAGGUGAGCCCACUGAAGGCCAUUAGCUCCACCCUAGGCCUCCUUUGCAACGAAUCAAAAAAGCAAUAAUGACCAAUCUUUGGUUGCAUCGUAAUUCGAGUAUCCAAUUCCAAGCCAAGGCAUACACUCUGAGACAUUGAGAAAUAAGAGGAAUAUUAUCCAACCAAACAUCUUCCCAAAAACGAAGUUAUAGAGCUAUCCACAAUUAUUUUUUUACACUUCAAGAACAAAUCAAUCUCUUUAUCUUACAUAUGGAGGGGCGGAUCCAAUGUUGAGCCCAGGGUAGUCCGGGGUGCCCCUUAUUAUUAUUAUUUUCAGUAGUGUAAUUUUUUCGGAAAAUUUCGUUUUAUGUUGCAGUGAUACCCUAGAAAAAAAAAUUACCCUAAAAAAAAUUGUGCUACCCUUUAAUAUGAAUAAAAUCCUUAAGAAUAACCACCACGUAGAGGUCUGAUGUCUAGGCAAAUCACUCCCAUGAGGCCUUUGAUUUAUUUAGUUGUUAGUGAACCAUACAUAAUUCUACCAUUUUGAAAGUUUUAUAACAUUCAUAUGUUAUUGAGUAAAUUACGGAAAUCGUCUUUAUGGUUUGGUUAGAGUUGCACGUUUGGUCCCUAAUUUUUUUAUUGCACUCGGAUCGUCCCUUUGGUUUGAUUUUGUUGCGUUUUUCGUCCCUUACGUACAUAAAGUUAGGGACCAAACGUGCAAUUUUGACCAAACCAUAGGGACGAAAAACGCAACAAAAUCAAACCACAGGGUUGAUCCGAAUGCAAAAAAACGUUAGGGGACCAAACAUGCAAUUCUUACCAAACCAUAGGGACGAUUUUGGUAAUUUACUCUAUGUUAUUAAAUUUUAUGUUUUGGCACACUUAACCGAACUAUGAGAUUUACCAACUAAAACUUAAAAGAAAAGAAAUUUUGAUAACGACUGCUUUCAUAAUGACAAAGACCUCUUCAAUAAAAACAAAUUAUAGAUGAGGCUUACUAGUUAAGGUCACUAUCAAUGUAGGUAUCAUUCUAGAACUAUAGCGAUUUAGUAGACGGUAUAAUUUGAAAUACUUAAACGAUUAUAAUAGUGUCUUAGGUUAUCCGCAUAUCAUAUUAGAAUUUUAGACUGUACAAGGUGAGUUCAUGUGAUUUACAAGAUGUGAUACAUGUUUAUUUAUUGUGAAAUAAUUGUUAAGUGGCUAGUUAUGUACAUUUUGCAAAAGUUAAGUUAUGUACUAUUUUAGUAUAUUAUGAUAUAUGUACAGAAAAUAUUUUUUAUAUGAUUUUUAUAAGCCCAUGGCGCUUAUAAAUUAUAGUCAUUGGAACCGGGUUUUAUUUCUUUUUUCACAUAGAACUCGCCGACAAUAGGACCCGGUUCAAAACCGGGUUAUUUAAUGGAUAUAACCGGGUUCUACAAGCCUAUAAUCCAACAUAAUGUAUAGUUGCAUAAUAUAUCAUGAUCAACAUAGUUUUCCAGUAUGAAAUCUCGAUAAGUUUUUCAAUAUAUUUAGUUCUAAAUGAUAUCCAUUCAGUAUGUUAUGAUGUAAUGUUUGAUAUGCUUGUUUUUCAAAUGAAAUACGAUAUUUAGUUAGUAUUAAAUCUUGAGCUCACUAACAUAAAGCUGACCUAACAUGUAUCUCAAGAACUACCGUAGCAAUAGUGUUGACCUCGAAGGAAAAGAGAAAGUUUAGAAUAGUUUCAAGUUGUUUCAGCCUAUUCAGUUAUUUUUGUUUCAGGAUUUGUUUUAUAUUGAAUUUUGGAUGUAAUUAUAGAUGUUUUAGUUAAGACUUUUGUUGUAAAGUCUUUUUUUAUUACAUUAUUAGUUAUGAAUUACGUAGUAAUCACAACCCUGUAUCUAUUGUUGGGUGUGAGAAAGCCAAAAUGAGAUGGUCAAUUAUGGUUGAAGACCUCAUGGUAAAGUAAUGCAACACCAUGUAAUGAAGGUUGCUUUAUAUGCUUUUAAGUUUGGGGGCCGAAUAUCCAUUUAGUCAAUUAACUUGGGAGUAACUAGUAGAGAAAUUAUUGUAGCGUGUAAUUACCUUAAACAAACUACAAUUAAGUUUCUAUGAGAUUUAAGGUGUUAGGGAUGGGUUAAGGUUGGAAACCCAUUAUGCAAAAUAGGGAAUUAUCCAAUCCGUACGAUGCAAAAUAGGGAAAUAUGCAAGCUUAUGUCGGUGGGUCGUACGACCAUGGAUUUAAUUUUGUGAGUCCAUGCUAAGGGCCCACACAUGUACUUAGAUGGUGUAUAUAUGUACCAUGUGUACAAGAAUAAGGGGCUACUGGGUGGUAUUGUACGUCCACAUAUAGAAGGUGACAAGACCAUACUUGGUCCCCCAUAUGGAUUAAGACCUGUCAGGAUGAGGGCUUUCUAGACAAAUUUGGUAUGGCCAUACAAGUGUUUAUCCCCGACCUUACCAUAGGAAAGUACAUUUGUAUUAGUUAUCUUUUAGGUCGUAUAGUUUUGAUUGUAGUGUAAUUUUUGUGAUAACCUUUAUAAAGUGAAAUGUAAGUCUUAUACAUCAUUAUUAUGCCUUACAGAUGGUUAAAGGACACUCUGAGGAGUAAGAAGAGUUCUUAUACAAAAGAUUGAAGCGAGUACAUGGUAUUUUCAAGGAAAUGUCCCCAUAUAGAAGCAUACUUUCAUUUUAUGCCCCUUUGGUGUUAUAUAGUAUGUCUUUACUUGUUAUUAUAUGCAUUUGCCUAUGCAUUUUACAACGAACAUCUUUUGUGAAAUAAAUUUGGAGAAGAGGCAUCUUUUAAAUGAUUUUUCAUUUUCAAAAGAUAUACUUGGUAUUCCAUAUAUCAUGAUAAUGUUCCAUUAUUAUGUAGGGUGUUGUGUGUGAGACUAUACGUGUUUUGGAGACUAGAUGAACUUGAUAUCUAAAAUAAGGGACAAGUGAUUUUAUGUCGUUAUGGAUAAACUCGUGUCAUGUGGAGUCUUGAAAAACCUUCAUGUGCUGAUGUGCUAUAUAUGUGAUAGUUCAUGUGGUAGCCACCAUACUAUCUUUUGAGCAUGUGUGAUAGUUCAUGUGCUAGCUACCAUACUAUCUUUUGAGCAGUUGGGUAUGGGAUGUCAUUUGUGCUAACUAUCAAUACAAUUCCUACUCAACCAUCAUGUAUUGUAGAAAAAGGAAUCCCUUAGUAGAAAAGUGAGUGUGUGUGUGUGUGUGUGUGUGUGUGUAUAUAUAUAUAUAUAUAUAUAUAUAUAUAUAUAUAUAUAUCAAGGUUGUAAAAAAUGUUUGACGUUAGGUAGUCGGUGGACUAGAGUUUGUAGAAUAACGUAUUUCCCAUUCCUCACAAUGAAUUACACAAAGCGUACAUAUACAUGAGAUGUGAGCCGAUUAUAUAACAAGGCCAAUAUAAAGAAUACAAGUACAAAUUGGCCAAAUACACAAUAUAAUACAUAUAUCUAUCCGUCCGCUAACAUCCCCACACAGUUUGAUGGGGAGGGGAAUUCCGAACGUUCAAACUAAAAUCAUCGAAUGAAGUAAAUAUCAAUCUCGAUGUAUUUCAUGAGCUGGUGUUGAACUGGGUUCGAUCUCAUUUAAAUGGAGUUGAUGUUCUCACAAUAGACAAUAGUGUCUUUCGUAAUAGGACACUAAAGUUCUCGAAGCAGAUUAUGAACCCAACAAGUCUCGGCAAUGGCGUUGGUAAUGCCACAGUACUCUGCCCCAGCACUAGAUCGAGAUAUGACCCCUUGUCGCUUAGAGGACCAGGAAAUGAGGUUUUUGUCGAGAAAAAUGCAGUAACCCGAGGUCGAGCAGCGAGAGACCAGACACCCGCCCCAGUCGGCGUCCGAAUAAGCAUGAAGAUUUGUAGUAGGGGAAACAUGAAGUUGUAAGCUAUGAUUUAAUGUCCCUUGGAUAUACCGUAGGAUGCGCUUGAGUACAUGCAAGUGAGGUUCCUGAGUGUCGUGCGUGAAUAAACAUAUCUUCUGAGCCGCAAAGGAGAUGUCCUGGCAGGUGAAUGUAAGGUACUGAACAAGGUUGUGAUACAUAGACGGAUCAGCGACAGGUGGUCCGGUGGCAUCCAGUUUAUAUGUAGUCUCGGCUGAAGUACGGGCUGGAUUAUACUGAGACAUAUAAUCUCUCUCUAGGAUCUUAUAGGCGUAGUUACGUUGAGAUGGACCUUGAGAAGACUGGGUGGCAGACAUCCUAAGAAAAUAGUUAAGCGCUCCAAGAUUUGUCAUUGCAAACUCUCGACUAAGCUAAGUGAUAAGAGACUGAAGGAGAGUUAUAGAGGACGCAGUCAACAUAAUUUCAUUGAAGUAUAACAUGAGAUAUUGUGUGUCGGAUCAAUGGUGGUGGAUAAAAAGAGAUGAGUUAGUAAGACUAUAGUGAAACCCUAUGUGAAGAGCAUGCUGAGAAAACCGCUAGUACAAGGCCCUCAAGGCCUACUUUAGUCCAGAAAGAGAUCGAUGGAAAUGGAAAACAUAAUUUGGAUGCUGAGGAUCAUAAAAGCCUAGGGGUUAGUGGAUGUAAUUGUCUCUAGAAGGUGACUGUGAAGAAAUACAUUAUUCACGUCAAGCUAAUGAAUAGGACUGUCUAGAUGUCGCUAUACUGAGCACAAUAUGUAUGGUGGUCGAUUUGACAACUAGGCUAAAUGUUUCUUCAUAAUCAAUCCUCGGUUGUUGACUGCACCCGUUUGGCACUAGAAGAGAUUUUAUAAUGAGAGAAGGAGCCAUCAAAAUUAAAUUUCUAUUUAAAAAGCCACAUGGAACAAACCAUAUUUUCCCCUGGUGGUCAUGACAUGAAAAUUCGAGUACCGUUAGUAAUAAGAGCAUUAUAUUCCUUUUUCAUGGCUAUGGAAGAGGUAUGAAGAUUGAGACAAUGAAUGGGUUUCACAAUUCCACUUUUAGAGUGUGUGUGUAUGUGUGUUAUGAGCAAUAGGAGGUAGAUGAGGGGAAGUCUCAUGAUGCAAAGAUCUCGAGUGAAGAGGGGAGUCAUUGUGAAGAGGAGAUCCCAAAUGAAGAUGGGAGUCCUCAUGAGGAGGAGACUCCAUAGGAGGAGGUAAGUGAUGUGGGUCGACGUGAGGGGAGAAAAGAGAGUUUAUUGGAGGGUUAAAAGCAUGUGAUGAUGGGUGAAGAAUGUCACCCAUAAGGAGAGAUAUAUGAGUCAUCUAAAAAUCAUAGGAUGGGGAUUUCGUGGGGGUGAUCGAACCGUAUAGGAAGAUAAACUCGACAAAGUGAUGUGUUGAGAGAUGAUGAUCUUGCGAGUGGAGAGAUCAAAUCAUCAUAGACCAUAAUGGCAAGUAGGGUACCCAAGAAAGAUGCAUGGGGUGGAGCGGGGUUGAAAUUUAUGAGUAGUGUGAAUUUGGGAAAAGCAAAGAUAACUAAAUACCCAGAGGUGAUCAUAGGUUGGAUGUUUUUGAAAAAGGCGGUAGUGGGGUGUUUCAUUAGAUACGGAAACAGAGGGAAGUAUGUUGAGAAUAUGGGCUUCCAUAUGGAGGGCCUCAGGCCAAAAAGUAAGAGGUAGAUGAUAGUGAAAGAAAAGGGUCCGCAUCAUAUUAUUGAUGGUGCGAAUCAUGUGUUUGGAAUGAACAUUUUUUUGAGAUGUAUGUGGGUAGGAAAAAUGAAAGAUGAUUUCGUGAGAUGUAAAGUGGUUGUGAAACUAAUUAUUAUUGUAUCCCCCCGGUUAUCACAUUGGAAUUGUUUAAUGGUACCCCCGAAGUGAGUUGAGAUUAUGUUGGAAAGAUGAAUAAAUUUAGAAAAAACUUUAGAUUUUUGUUUUAAAGGGUACACCCAUAAUUAAAGAGUGUAAUGAUCAAGAAAUAAGAUAUAAUAUUGCAAACCACCAUUACUAGAAAUAUGAGAUGUCUAUAAAUCAGAUUGAAUAAUCUCAAAAGGUGCACAAACAAUAUAAUCAAACAAAUAAAAUGGAACUCCAAUAUGUUUCCAGGCUAACCAGCAUGGCAAGUAACAUUAUUUUUUGAUGAAGGACAUUAAAUAUAAUUUCUAGUUGAUAAAUGCUUCAAAACUUGAUCUCUGUGGUGAGCAAGUCGUUGAUGCCAAAUGGUUGGAGAGAUGGAGACAAAAACAUGACUUGAAGAUCUUGUGACAGAAUAUAUAGGGGGGCGGAGUUAUCACAAUGGAUGAAAGGACGAAGAAUCUGAUAAUCAAGAAUAGUAAAACCGUAAGGAUCAAAAUCAAUAGAGAAAUUAUUUUGAGUAGUAAAUUUACAAACCGAUAUAUGAUUUUUAAUAAUAUUGGGUGUUACAAGGAUGUUUUUAAAUGGAGAGGACGAUAUAUAUUAAGGAUAGGAAAAGUGGAGUGUCCCAAUGUCACAACAGGUAUUGUAGAACCUUUAUCUGUCGCCUCGGUAUCCAUGACCCAUCCACCUGUUCCGGAGUCAUUAAGAGUCAUUAUGUUGAAUAUGUUUGGAAGUGAAGUGGCCUGGUCAAUACUGCCUAAAAAGGAUCAUGGGGUUGAUAUGGUAUCAAGACUUGAAUGUGAUUCUAUGAUCCAUAAGAUGAUAGUUGGUGAGGGAUAUUGGGUCGGCUGUCGAGUAGGCCUAGGCUGGCGAAGUUGGGUCGAGUCCAUGGUUGAUCCUUCUGGGAGAAUUAUGCCACUAGGAAAGAAGACGACGCAAUCCAAGGUUGUUGUUGUGUUUUAUAUGGAUGAUGGAACUGUAUAGAAGGGCCAUAUAACGAGAGUUGAUGGUGUAUAGGAGCAGAUGAAAAACCCAGCCAUAUUGAGGUCCUUCUAGAUUAGAGGAUGAAUAUGACCCAAUGUGGAGAAAAUAAUAGGAGGACGGAUAGUAGUCAUUGGAUGGGGAAGAAGCAACUCGUUUGUUUCUUAGGCGGGUUUCUUCAAUAGAGAGCAUGAACCGCGUUUCGGAUAAAGAUGGAAAAGGUUUGGUGUUCUGUAUGAUGUUAUAGAUGUUGUCAAACUUACUUAGAAGGUCAUUUAGUGUAUGGAUGAUAACGUUCCUUUCUUUGACCUUCUCCCCGAGUAUCUCAAGAAGGUCCGGCGGAUCCCUAACCUUAUCACAAUAUGCAUGGAUUAAUAAGUCUCCCAAAUAGAUAGUUCUUUGUUCCAUUUCAAGUUGCAUGGUAAUGGAUUCCUUGUUGUCAUAGAAGAUAUAGUGAAGAUUCUGCCACACCUUACUAGUUGUGGCUUUAGGAGAGUGAGCUGAUGUGAUGAGAGAUUAAGAAAUUGAACCAAAUAGCCAUAGAGUAACCAUGUUGUCCAACUUUUCCAACUGAGGGUCUGAUGUCAGUUCAUUUGGAGGAUCAUAUGUUGUAUCAAUUUGAUCCAAAACAUCAUAGUCAUUGCAGUGGUCUUGAAAAAAGCACUCAAUGGUUCAUAGUUGCAUUUGGUGAGGUCGAGAAUGAGGGGAACAUAGGUCUUUAUGUUCGUGAUCCCAUAUGCUUUAUGAGCAUGUUUGGAUUGUGAGGAUUCUUCACUAGGCAUGAUGAAUAAAAGGGUAUUAUUGACAGUGAUAUGAGAAGAAAAAAGAGGAUAAGCAGAAAGAAAUAAAAGGAAGAAGAGUGGAAGGAGCGUCGACAAAGGGAGAGAGUAUGAUCGACUAGGGUUUAGCUCGAUACCAUGUAGAAUAACGUAUUUCCCAUUCCUCACAAUGAAUUACACAUAGUGUACAUAUACAGGAGAUGUAGGUUGAUUACAUAACAAGGACAAUAUAAAGAAUACAAAUACAAAUGGGCUAAAUACACAAUACAAUAUAUAUAUAUAUAUAUAUAUANNNNNNNNNNNNNNNNNNNNNNNNNNNNNNNNNNNNNNNNNNNNNNNNNNNNNNNNNNNNNNNNNNNNNNNNNNNNNNNNNNNNNNNNNNNNNNNNNNNNNNNNNNNNNNNNNNNNNNNNNNNNNNNNNNNNNNNNNNNNNNNNNNNNNNNNNNNNNNNNNNNNNNNAUUAAUUGGCUACGUUGGGAUUAAUCCGGGACCCUAAAUUUCUAAUUAUUUGAAUUUUUAAAAAUUGAAUAUGAAUAACAGCAUAACAAUUUGUAAAUUACAUCAAUAUCAAUAUGAUUAAUACAACAAUUAUCAUUACUCAGAUAGUUUCUAUUGGUAUAGAACUUCUUCAAAAUAUUAAAAUUUUAUCGUUUAUUACUACUUCGCUCAUUGUAUAGGCAAGGGUUAAUUAUUAGGCGUCUUCUAGUCGGUCGGGUAGCGCCUAGGGACUAAUCGAUGAUUAUUCGGGGCCUAGUAGGGAUUUUUACAACACUGAUAUAUNAGCACACACACACACACACACACACACACACACACAUAUAUAUAUAUAUAUAUAUAUAUAUAUAUAUAUAUAUAUAUAUAUUCAUUUGGAUUUUACUUUUUUUUUACAAUGUAUAUUGUUUGCAUGAAAUGUUUCCCCAAAAAUGUGGUUCCAAAGGUGUUUGAAAUGUUCCAGUCAUAUGCGUUAUUAAAACAUACUGAAUAUGGUAUGUUUUUAUAUAUUAUUUUUCUUGAGAUGACGUUUUGAUUACAAGAGGUGUGAAAGGCUCUAACCAACUUAUCAAAUAUUAUAAAUAUCAUCAAGUGAGCUAAUUUUCAUUAUACCGUUUAGAACUCCUUAGAACACCUUAUUGUAUACAUAACAUUUUGAGAGUUCUUUUUGUUAUUGAGAUAUUACUUGUCAAAUUCUCAAUGAUCUUUCAUAAAUAAAAAACAAUCAACAUGUAUUUUUGAAUUAGAUCUGCGAGUAUUCUUAAUUAUGCUAGUUCAUAUUGGUAUCUUGUUGUGAGGAUCCAAUAGGUUGUGGCGUUGUGUGGAUGGCCUUAGUGAAGGUGGGUUAGGAAUAUCACCCUCAAAACUCUCUUUCAUAGUUUACUCACUCUUAAUUAGCUCAAGUUUCCAUUUCCUUCUCAUAUCCUUCCUUUCCUUCUUAUGUUCUAUCCUAAUCCAUUAUCUAGUUCAAAUUCUUCUUCCUUUGAUUUACCUCCUUCACUAGAUACAUCAACUUUUCUCUUCUUUCUCUUCUUCUUCUCACCAUUAUUUGCUUACAUCCUUAUUAUGCUCACUUGACUUUCUACCGUACUGUAACAUCCCAAAAAAUAAGACGCAAAAACUUCAUUUUUGAUUUAACAAAAUCAUUAAUCCAAACAUUGUCAUGCAACCCCAAAAGAUCAAUGUAUGUCACUACAUCAAAACAUAUCAUACAUAACUGCCCCCGCCCACUGAGUAUAACGGGCCCCGCCCAAACUCGCAUAAUGGGCCUCGCCCACUGAAUGUAACGGGCCCCGCCCACACUCACAUAACGGGCCCCACCGAUUGAGUAUAGCGGACCCCACCCAAACUCGUAUAACGGGCCCCGCCCAAUGAGUAUAACGGGUCCCACCUAACGUACAAGUUAUGUAAGCAUAUACACAUACAAGAGUCACACAGACAUGUAGUAUCCUAGCAUAACUGAUCACGGGUCGGCAUUGGUGCCUUAGACCCGUUAAACAGUGUGACGAAACUCACAUCACACUGCUGAAUCUCACAAAAAAAUCCCCGGCUACUGGCCCGCUAAAAUCCCCGCGCUAUCAAUCAUGAAAUAACAUCCAAUUAAUAAUUGGAUCCCAACCCACACUAAGAGUCCAAACUUGGGUAAAAUACCUUUUUACCCUUUCCUUAAAUUGGCCCAAGACCAAGGCCCAAUCCAAUUGUCCAAAUGCCUAAUUUCCAAAAUAAUCACCCAAAGCCCAAAUAUAGCUAGAUUUUCCAAAUUGGGCCCAAACCCCCUUCAUGGGCCUUCAACCAAAAGAGUCCAAUAAAAUAUUAACAACCCAACAAGAGAAUUUUGAUGGCCCAACAAGUCCUAAGACAACAAAAGUCCAACAAGGCCCAAAACUAAGAAGCCCACAUAUCUGAAGCCUAUUGUUGAGUACGCAUGGCAUACUCAACUCGUACGCUUAGCGUACUCGCUUUAGGCCUUGUACGUGCAGAGUACCUAUUUGUACGCCCAACGUACUCCACCAACUUGGCCAACUAUCUCAUUCAACUCUUAAAUGGUUAAGACUUCACUCUAACACUUACAUAUGACUUCCUUAAGGUGGUUUAUCACGUAAAGUUGCCAACUUUACGUGCAUGCAUGGCUUAAGUGAGGCUUUUAGAGCUCAAAAGAGCUUAAAAAUGACUUAACACAUGCAUGAGACCAAAAAUACCAUAAAGCUUGCAUUUUUUGGACAAAGGUACCUAAAGGACCCUAGAUCUACCAUCAAUCACUUUUGGAGUGAAUUAAGAGGCUCAACAACCAAACCAUGGCCUCAAAAGCACAAAAUGGCAUCAAACUAGAUCUAGCAUCAUGGAUUAGCAAGAUGGAAGCUUUUUACCUCACAAGGAAAGAAAAUGAAGAACUAAUUUCAGAUCUUCAAGCUUCAAGCACCACAUUAAAUGGUUCACUUCUUAUUCUUCUUCACAAAGCACCAAGAAUCAAACUUUAAGGCUCAAACUCUCAAGAUCGCACUUAGGGUUCGAUUUUCUGGACAAUAAGGGAUGGAGAUUGUCUAAAUAUGACCUAGUAAGGCUAUCACAAGGUUUAAAUAGGAUGAAAUACCCUAAAAUUAGGGUUUCACUUAAUCGUAUGUACUCCAUGCGUUCCCUUUGCACACCCAGCGUACGUGAACCAAAGGCGAGAUCAACCCGGGCUAGUAUGCCAAGCGUACCUCUUAGUACACCCCACGUACUAGCUUAGAGACCACUACAAGAAAAAACCGAAAUAACUACAGAAAAAUUCCGUAGCUAAAACAUGAUAUUCCGUAGUUAAGUGUGAUUAGAGACGGAAUUUGCUACGGAACCCAUUUGUUGCAAAAAUCUUCGUUACUAAACUAUUGUUACGGAAUCCGUAGGACCUUCGCGACGGAUUUUGCAACACACUUAUUCCGUAGCAAAAUAGCUAUAAACUAUAUCCGUAGCAGUAACGUAGCAAAUUAACUACAAUUGUUGUCCGUAGCAAAUUACCAACGACUCGAUCUGUAGUUAAUCUGUCACAAAUUAACUACAAUUGUUUUCUGUAGCACAUCCGUAACAAAUUAUUUACGACCUGAUCCAUUGUUAAUCUGUCACAAAUUAACUACAAACCAUCACCGUAGCUAAUUUCCAUAGCAAAUCCACUACAGAUAAUGUGGUAGCAAAUAUUCCAUAGUGAAUCUACUACGAUCUAAUUAUGUAACAGAUAGUUAGUAGUAGAUUUCACGGUAGUGGUUUCAAGCUUUUCUUCAUUAUUCACAUUUUUGUUACAAUUUACAAUAACAUCAAAUUAACAUACACACAAAAUAAUACACACACAGCAUCAAACACACCCUCCAUGGCGGUCCUUGAGGCGGCAGCCACCAUGGCCGGCGGCCAUGGUGGUUCUUCCUUGGCUUUUCUCCGGCAGCAGUAAAUCCGAGACUCACACCAACUAGUGAGUCACGGCUGAACACACACACACAUAUACCCACGAGCUUGAAGCAGCAACACACAAAAUACUCACAGAGACCUCGACUUCUUGCUUAGAAAAUAACCCAUCACCACCACAGGUGGGUGGUGACGGCAGGAGCUCAAGAAACGGUAGCAGCGACGCUACACCGGAACGAGAACGGAGAUAGAGAGGAAUGACACAGUUGGGGCUGUUUCCCUGUUGACAGCAGCAACGGUGUCGGUCUCGCCUCCCUGCUUCCGGCGACCCAAGAGAAACCCUCGCUGCUCACGACUUCAUUGGCGGCAGGAGGAUCGAUGGCAGCUUCGAAUCGACAGCAACGACGACAAGGAACGGAGAAGAGAGAGAGAAAGAAGAANGGAACGAGAAGGAGAUAGAGAGGAAUGACACAGUUGGGGCUGUUUCCCUGUUGACAGCAGCAACGGUGUCGGUCUCGCCUCCCUGCUUCCGGCGACCCAAGAGAAACCCUCGCUGCUCACGACUUCAUUGGCGGCAGGAGGAUUGAUGGCAGCUUCGAAUCGACAGCAACGACGACAAGGAACGGAGAAGAGAGAGAGAAAGAAGAACACAACAUCGACAGCUUCUCUCUCGGGAAUAUCCUUCGACCAAACACGACAACAGAACCAACAUGGGCAGCGGUAGUGAUGCUUGACGACUCCAGCAAUAGCGGUGGAAGGUAACUCGACAGAGAAGGGGAGGGGGUAGCGGCGCUGAAGGUGAAGGAGGGUGAAGGCAAGGUUGGCGGCUAUUCAUAGCUAGGUUUAGGGUUCACGGGAUGAUGGGUUUUAUAUCCCGAGUCCCAUACCAUCUAUCCCAUAUUGACAAGAUUAACCCCUCAUUCCCCAAAUUCUUUCAAAACUAACUCAUAAUUUACCUUUCUAACCCUGCUCUCUAUAAUUCUUUUCAAAUCAGG